AUGGCAUUAAAAUCGGAACCAUCUGUGCGUAAAUGACGCAUCGCGCUCCGUGGCCUGGCUCUUUCUUUCAUAGAUGUUGGCAUAUAAAAUAAAUUUGGCUCACAAAACUGAAUAUUAUAAUAUCCGUAUGUCGGCUUAAAGUAGAUAACGCAUCUGAGCACUGAAACAAAUCAUCUGUUCAGCCGCAGCAGCAGCAGCAAGACGGACAGAGGACACGGAGACGUGUCCAGGUCGAGCUGUGCGAGAAAUAAGAGGAAGAGGAAGAAAGAAAAGGAGGGAGACGAAUUACAUAUCUUGUUAACUUCAUCAUGUGUGUUUAUUUACUAGAUAUUUAAUUUAAUUUGAUGCGGUUUCAGCUGUGUUGAUUCGGUCAGGUUGUGUGUCCAAACGCGUGCCAAACGCGCUCAUCAGAUCAGAUAUAGAUCAGAAUAUAUCGAUAUAGAUCUAAAUGUAUGUGCUGACUCAGAUUAAUAGUUGAUGAUGAUUAUUUAUUGCACUGUAAUGUGCCUGACACUGUGGAAACCUGCCGGUGAGGCAUCAGUGACGUAUGUCAAUACGCCGCCGGUCUACCAAAAUACUACGAGACCAGCUGCGUUCCGCCUUGCGCUGAAAGCUGACCAGGUUUGAAUCGGCGAGCUUUCAGCGCACGUUACACGCCGGUGGCGAGCACGAAAAUGUCACUGCGCCAGCUGAUUCUGUCAACACCUCCCCCUGCCACGCCACCACGCCCAGCUUGGCGGAUCUCGGCUCGCCUCCGUGCGAAUCAGUCCACGAAAAUACCAAACUCGCCUUACGCCGGGCUCCACCAGACGAAAAUACAACUGCGCGGGGCUCGCCGCCCUCCGCCGCCUCACCGGCGCGAACGAAAAUAGAGCCCCAUGUCUCCGAGAUUUGACAAAGAUGGCACAGCACCUGGUGAAUGGCCAGCAACAGGCCUGGCAUGUGUCUCUGCGACACAAUUGGCCAGCGCACUCAGCUGUUAACCAAAAAGUAGGUAGUUUGAGCCCACCCAGGGACUAGCUGUUCAUACGAUUGAAUCCUUGAAACUCACUCAGUACAGAAGGCUUGACCUCUACAGAACAGGUCCUGAGUCAUGAGAUGUGGAAGUGUGGAAGUAAAGAAAAUCUGGCAGCAUUCACAUCCAGUUUGUCCCUUGACCUCUGCAGACAACUAACUCCAUUCACGAACUACUGGGCACAGCCAGCAGGUGCAGGCAGGGUCAAGAGUCUUGCCCAAGGUCACUUCAGCACAUGAACAGCUCUGGAAUCGAAACUCCGAACUUCCGACGUGAGAGAACAUGGACAUGAUGAUGCAAAAAGUUAAUGACAGUGACAGACAAUAGCAAAGGAGGGAAAGGUGCUCAAUGAGUCAUUGCCCCCGGCAGUCUAAACCUAUAGCAGCAUAACUAAAGGCUGGCGUAGACCUGGACCAGCUCUAACUAUAAACUUCAUCCAAAAAGAAAGUGUUGAGCUGACUCUUAAAGAUAGAGAUGGUGCCUGCCCCCCUGCACCUCUACUAGUAGAUGAACCCCCGAUAUUUUUAUUCCAGAAGCUUCCCUAUACCAUCUCUCACAUUAUCGUGUCUUGUGCACUAGCCUGACAAAAAUUGUAGUUUUGUUUGCCUGGUAGCAAAACAAACAAACAAACAAACAAACAAACAAACAAACAAACAAACAAACAAACAAAAAAAAAAAAAAAAAAGGAAAAAGUAAAUCAGCAUCUGCACCUUUGGGGCUAAGCCCCUGAUCGCCUAGAAUCCUAGAUUCGCCCCUGCACUGCAGGCCUUUUUCUUGCAGUGAAGAAGAUCAGAUAGCAGUCUUUUUUUUUUUUAGAGUCUUCUGCUUGUCUGACUGUGUGUUCAGUGUCUUGCCACUGAGAUUUUUUUCCCUUGUUCUUAGAGAAGAGGAAAAUAAUUGAUGAUGACAUGAAAAACGGGAGCUGCGAAUGGAGAGCAGAGGGGUCGGAGGAGGGGUGUAGGAUUGAGGAGCUGAAUACCAAAGAAUUUAGCUUGAGUCAGAGCCACCUCCGCCCCCCCAUCAGGAGGAGAAGAAUUUUCUCUGCGGGACAUCAAUCCCAUUUUUUCCUGCCUCCUGCUGGGCACAGGUCAAUUAUAUCUUUAUUACAGUAAAAUGCAGAUCAUUUUCCUGCAAAAUGUAGGCGCAGAAAGACUGAUGAUCAGAGGCGGCUAAAGAAUCUUGGUUUUCUAGGAUCUGUGCUACUUAUACAGUAGCAUGUUGCGAACGGGGAGUUCAGGGUCAUAAACAAAGACAGGAGUUCUGUAAUCUAAUCGUGACCUGCUCUGAAACCAAGCCAUAACCUUAAAGCACAUUAGUGAGGAUUCGGUUUGACACUUUGAAGCAUCAGCACCUUUGCCAGGGUGGGGGAGAGGUGUUGUUUUUGGCACCCGACAACAUACAAUUGACGCCAGAGACUCAAAAGCCAAAGCUUUCUGGGUGGUAUUUUUUAUUCCUUUCACACAACAUUUAAAGAUCAAGGGUUAGGAAAAAAAUAUGGAAAUGACUGUUCACAAAAGGCCUUUACCAAAAAUGUCUGCUGAAAUGUGACCCCUCAAUUUGCCAACUUGAAGGAAUCUGGGACAUUCAGCAGUUUUUAAAGCUGGUAUUUAUUCUUCAGGCUGUCAGCAUGUCCGGCACUUUGACAGACCUGGAAAUCCUGAGAAAGUUCAGACAUUUUAGGGUAUUGUUAGAGCUUCAGUAAAACAACCAUCAGAAAGGUCAUGACUAUGUGCUCAUAAGCCUUUCCCAUCACUGAAUACAUUAAAAUGUCAAGCUUGUCUGUUAGUGGAUUUUAUAAGUCUUGAAGGAACAGGCCCUUAACAUUUUUCUGUUUACAAAACCAAGUAACAAGGCGUCAAAGAAAAAUAAUACUGUUGAUGAAAUAGCUUCAUUUGUCAGGUGGUGCUUAUGAAAAAGUCAAUUUCCUUAAAUUGCAACUUUGUGCAUUUUUUUUCCCCUGAUGGCCUCAUUGGACCAGUUGGUCAUAAAACUACAGGCCUCUUGAUUUUUACUGGCCCCUAUUACCCAUUUUCUGAGCCACUUUUUUUUCUCUCCCUGCACGCAUUUGGCAAGAGUCAGGAAAAUAAAGCAGGACAUACUGAUACUGAAAAAGCCGGCAUAUUGACAGAAAACACUCACAUUCAAACCUACAGGUAACAAAGAGUUGUCAUUAAAUUUGCUCUAACAUCACACUGAGGGCAGGUAACUCAAGAGUUCCAUCAACCAGCUUCUGUUAAGACUUUUUUGACACGUAUGCGAUGAACUGGAAUGCAAACCGAUGCCUAUUAGGAUAUCCAAAAGCAAUCAAGACCUUUAGCAACAUGACUGAUUAAUGUGAACAUUUUUUAUAUUGUGAAUUUUAAGUUUGAAAGCAGAGCAAGGGCUUAGGUGUUGGCCAAUCAGCUGAAGAAAUAUAUCAAAUAUACACAAUACAUUUGACUGUCAGAGGUCAGCAGUAGUGUAUAUUUUGGUCAAAGGACACUGUUUUAACAUUUAGAGAACCAGAUAUGCAAAGACUGCUUUUUCCACAGGGGGUGCAAAAACAUACCCAAAGAAAAAGUUCAGCAGCUGAGCCUUCAUGUACAUCUAAAUUUAGCUCAGGAGCAGCACACAGCGCUCCAGGGAAUCCAGAUUAGUAGAUUUGAAAGCAUGUCUGUGGUAAAAGAAUUUAAAACCACAUUUUCUAAGCCUGCGUAUUGAGGGGUCCUUUGGGUUUUUGGUGCACAAAUUUCGGUCAUACAUUCACACAUACAAUUGGUGGUUUUCUUUAGUCCACUCUCAUGAACAACUGUAAUGAAGAGCAAUCAAAGACAUUCACAAAAACUAUGAUAGGCAAGAGAUAGAUUCAACCCCAAGACAGCAUUAAUAGAGGCCCAUCUCUGACGACUAUCAGCCAUCGACCUUGUUCACCCCUGAGAUCAAUCAACCACUUCAGCAUCCAGAGUCAGAGCUUCUCAGCUCAAGUGCCUGAGCAUUCAGGCUUCACUUCCCUUCCUAUGAUGUCUCUGGACCAUUACUCAGUCCCCAGUGACCAGUGUCUAUGGUUUUGUAAGGAAAAUAAAAGAUCUUAUAAUGCACACACACACACACAAUUUUAGCUACAGCAGGGAAGAUGCUUUGCCGAAAUAUUGUUAUCAUAAUCAUCUCUGACUCUAAUUCAGUCUCUAAGUGAACUAAUAAAAUUGUUUUGUGACAUAUUCUUCUUGUAACUAUUUCAGCUGAAUGACUACAGCCGGUUGAAAUGAGGUCUUAGACUUUAAGACUUGAUUUGGCUUCUUUGUUAACAUAAAUUUCAACACUGAAAUCUCUGUUAGUGUUCAAUGGCUAGCCUUGUUAUCAUGGUGUCCAAAUGCUAACUAAGACAGUUUGGAAUGUUUGGCUUUGGUAUUUCAGCUAUUAGAAUAAAGCAAAGAAACUAUUGUUGUGGUAUGUGCUAAUUUAGCUCCACUUAUAAACCUAGUCAUAGUUCAAGAAAACUUGGUCUUUCGUUGAGGAAGACAAAGGCAACAAAUAAGAGGAGCUAGUGUGGACAGGCCUUUCCAGAUGAAUGCCUGCUGUGAAAAAAUGCUUACACUUUGUAUGUCAGUAAAUGUUUACCAACUGAUAAAACAAAGCCAUCAGGUUCAGACAGCUCACAAAAGUAAAGUUAGAAAUCAAAAUAAUGAGCUGAUUAAAUCACAGUAUGAGUCGAUGAAAUAGGAAAUCAAUUUAAUGCUUUUAAGGCACAACUGUAUUGCCAAAAAUUACCAGACAUUGUUUAAUUGGGUGUUUAUUUGUUAUUUGAUUACAAAUGUUCUUGUCUAAAAAAAAAAAAAAAAAUCACACCCACAGAUUUAAUGACAUCUCUGCACAGUCCAAGUACAUGCAGAGUGCCUAUUUGUAUAGACAUUAGCAGGAUUGGAGAGUGUGAGUCUCUUAUUGUACUCUGGGUGUGUUUUUCUUUAUACAUGAGCCCAUUACAUUAUUCUGAGUUGGUGACCCACAAUUCCACAUUUCCUUGGUAUUACCUCCUUGUCCUUGUUAUGCCAGAUGCCUCGUGAGCUACAGAUGUUUACUGAGCACGUGCGUCAGCCUCCCCACGGCGAUGGAGCCAGUACGAGGAUGGAUGGAAGAUGUGAAGAAAAAGCCUGCCUCCCCCAUCCUGCGCAAGGUUAAUCUCGUCCUCAGCCACAACUAGCACGUCACCCUAAUGAAGCCCCCACAGACGAACGCUUAAUAAGAGUUAAGAGUAAAUUAACCUUGAAGACUUUGCACGCAGCUCUCCUCUUUUAUACCCUUUAUGCAUCCAUUUCCCAUGAUCAAGGACGGCAGUCAUUUAGCUAGAGGAGGUCAGAACAAAAACAUUCCCUUGAUGGUCGCAAAUUUCUCUCUGACAUCUAUGUUUCAGUCAGAGUAGCGAGCAGAGGAUGAGCCUGUGUUUCCCUGUUGUCUGAGGCAGAUAAAGCGCUACACCCACCCACCCACUCUUUUUUCUUCUUCUUCUAGCUGCUGAUCAAUGCUCUUAAUGAUGGUAAUCAAUCAAGAAAACGAAAGAUUUACUCUCCAAUAUUAAUUUUGCUCAGCAUCGAUUGAGGAGCGAAGAGUAUUACUGCCAUUAAUGCCUUUUGAGGUGCGGUAUUGAGUUGCUUGCCUCUAAAAACAAGUCAUUCAUCUUUCAUCUUAGCAGUUUUAUUACACCUUUAAACAUAAUUAGAAAUAGAUAACAGUCACCCCAGGUGAUAUUUCGUAAACUGCUUGAUAGUCCUGCUAUUUUUUCAUUUUGAGAUAAUUACAUGAUAUUAGAGUCGGUUUUAAAAUCUCAAGUGUACAUUUUUCCACAAUACAAAAUGUUUUCAUCUGGAUAAAUUGGCUAAAGACGAAUAUCCAGUCAGAACAUAUUACUCCAAUAUGUUAGCUUGUCCUAUUUUUUUUUUUUUUAAACAAGGAUGCCAUUUACUUGGUGAAUUUGCAUUUCCUAAAAGUUGAUAAGGCACAAUUCACCCAUUCUUAAGAAGCAAGGUUUCAACACAGUAAACAUCUCUUUUUACUUCACCAAGCCAUAAUUCACAUGUACUAACACCAUGAUCUCAGUCUGCUGUGCUGAAUCAAGGUACAGUGAUGACGGCCAGUGCUAAUGAUACGCUAUUCAAUGAACCACCAGGGGCAGAAAACAUGCCAAAUCUACUGAGGGGUUUAUACCAGGAGCUGUUUCUUCCUGUACUAUGGUGUUGUGUCAUAGUACCAGCUGAUCAAAGGCUGAUGUUGAACUUUAAAGCUCUUAGCUGCUCCGACUGCACUCGGUCAAAUCUGCUCUUACCUUUCUUGCACUUUGAGCGCAGUGACACAACAUCCCCCCUUUCAGUCUGCAUUGCUGCCAUGAGGCUCAGAAACCUGCAAUUCAUGGAGAGGAAAGCUUUGAAUAUUAUCUGUCUUACAUUCAGACAAAAGAAAAAAAGAUCUACAUAGGCAGAGAGUAGAAAGUAGAGACCGUAUUUCAGACACCAGAAUGUACAAUAAAAAAUAUAUAUAUCUUAAAAUUUUAUUUUAUGCAAUGCUAGAUAUAACUUUAAGCCAAAAGUCAUUCAAACUCAAACAUUUCACAAUGGAUGGACGGACGGACGGACAGACAGACAGACACAGACAGACAGACAGACAGACAGACAGACAGACAGACAGACAGACAGACAGAUACGCCUUUCACAACACUUAAUGUAAACCAUAACUCAUAACUCAUAAUACAUCAUUGGCAAAUUUAUAAAGCCUCAUAAAUGCAUCUUUAUAUAAUGCAUUAUAUCUUUAUAAGUAAUAAAAACAAUUAUAUGGUGUAUAGCAAUGUUUAUAAUGGGUUUUAAGUACUGAGCAUAGUGUUAUGUUUUUGUAUCAUGGGAUUGGCGAAACAGCAAGAACACAAAUCUACCAGACCCGCCUCUGGUAGGUUGACUGAAAGUGAGGUUGAGUCGGUACUACCAACAUCGACAGCUGCCAAUAGGCUUCAAACCUCGGCUUCACAAACACAUGAGUAACGUCACCAAUUCUUCUCUGACAUGGCCAAGAAGUGAAGAGUUGCUUGGCUAUUUUUUAUCUAUUUAGGGAUUUAUAUGUAUCAAAUCCUUGCAAGGUGUUAUACCCUAGCCCUAGCACCAUGCAUGAACUUUGUCACUGGUGGAAAGGGUGGCUGUGAGCGGUGGAGCUGUCAGAGUUGGGUUCAGAGGAAGCAUUCCCUGGACUGUGAGUCUUGCCUAUUCUAAUUGUUAUUUUUGGUAUUCUUUAAGAAUAAUCACUUCUUCAUUGUUAAGCAAAUAGUCCCCUUUUCCCUCAACUUUUGAAGAUUUUGUGCUUAUCUUUUUGACUUUAGCAGCAAUUUUAACAUCAUUCUAGACCCUAACUUUUGACUUUCUAUUUAAACUUAUAACCCAGAGUGUGAUUUCUUUGAACCAGUUAAGAUCCUCAUGUUUAAACUCUUCAUUUAGAGGACAUGCCCUGGAAAAAACUCAUAAUGGUCCUUAUUAUGGUCAUUUUGUGUUAUCCUCAUGGAUUGAGUGCCUUCUGGCUCUGUUAUUUCCCUGCACAUUAUAAUACUUUUAAGCCAGGUUGCCGCUGUGUCGUCUUUAUCCCUGUCUUUCCUUUCUUUUUGUCAGUAGUAUACAUGCUCCUCAGCCACAGUGAGAAAAGUGGAGCAGGUUUUGUUGAUGACUUAAGGGAUGGAAAGCACACCGGGGCUCCUAAUGCACCUAGUAUUUAAAUAAUCCCCGGGUCUCCGCCAUCCUUUUGAUGCCUUUGUUCACUUUGAAAAGUUAUCACCAUACAGCCUGUACUGUUGGCUUGGGGAUGAAAAGAGAAAGAGAGAGAGAAAGAGAGAGAGAGAUGUUGAAUCACAACGCCAUACCGUUUUUUUUUUUUUUUUUUUUCCCUGCAUCCAGUUCCCGGAGUGUGAAAGAACAUCUGAAUACACAUUCGAAAUCUUAUCUCACUCCAGCUGUACCGCUGAAUUCUUCCUUUUUCAGGCACUCUAGAAAGCACUGCAGAAUAGGAACUGAGAAAUAAUCAGCCAUGCUUAUCUUUCUGCAAUACUGAGGGGAGCUAUAAUGAGACUCACUCAUCCAUAGUGGAGAGCUUAAUAAUUCAUUGUGGUAGCUUUGCAGGUGAACCCUAUCACAUUACAAUUUAAAAGCUCUAAAGCUAGUAUUGCUGAAGGGGAGAGCGGCUACAAUGAAUGCUCGGCUGAAAAACUCCCAUGCAUACAGGUAUAUGGGCACCACACAUACUUUCUCUAGAACACACACACACACACACACACACACACACACACACACACACACACACACACACACACACACACACACACACACACACACAGAGUCACUAAAUGAGUUCCAAUUUGGUCUAAAUAGACUUGUAUUGCAGUGUGCAGGCCUCUUCACAACACCACAAGCGACAAGCACAGGGUUCUUUCAAGUGGUAAACACAAACAGUGUUUAUUGUGAAGUGGCCCUCCUUUUCUUCCUAAUUUGAGAAGCGCUCAUCAUAUUAGCGAGCGUAAAUCACUCCUCCCCUGGGAACAAAAGUUAACAUUCUGUCGGCACACAUGCUGAGAGAGGAGAAGACAUAAAAUAAAACAUUUUACUUGUUUUGCUCUCAAGGGCAAAAGAAAAUUCCCCCCCCCCCCCUUUCCCUUGGGCACGGUGCCAAAGAUACUCUUGCACAUUUGGGGGAAACAUUAGUUUUUCCCUGCUCUGACACCCUUGUUUUCACGCAGACCUUUGCUCUGAUUAAGGAUCUAGAACAGUCUGCCGGCACUUUUUAUUCCCUCCUAAACUCAUUUUCUCGCAGGGAACCUUCAGACAGUCUACAAAGAUGGGGUCGGCUUUGUCAGUGACCUCUGGCACUGACUGUCUGUGGAGUACAUCCCAGAUGGGCUGGACUGUGGCCCACACUUCUCCCUGCUCCCUGCUCCCUCUCUUUCUAUCUUUUUGUGUCUCUCUCUAUCUGUUGCUCUCUCUGUCUUCUCUCCCUCCCUUCCUUCCCCCCUCCAUCUCUGUAGGACAGAGCCCGGGUCGCUUGGCACAAGGGCUGCAUACUGGAGUGACCUUGCAGGGCUCCCUAAUGGAGAACUUGGCAUUGUUCCAUAGUUUCUCAGCCAGCAAACAUGCACCCCCCUCAGCACUACCACCUCUUCUCUGUCUAUAGAUCUGGGCCAUAGUCACCUCUAACCCAUUGUCCCCCCACAUUCCCAUCCGAGAGCCAGGCCACAUCACAUCACUGACAUUAAUUGUCACCAGAAAAGGCAUCUGAUAAAAGCUCCCUGCUCAGUUUCUCUGCGGGGAAACUGUCAAGUCACACAGGAAUUAAGAACACUUGAGGAAGCUCUGCAAUAAGAGGACAGAGAGAGCACUGUAGUAACAUGUGUGCCUCUUUGAGUGUGUGUGUGCUCCACACAGCAGUGUGUUUGCUCAUGCAAUGAUGAGAAAUGUCAAAACAUGUUGGAAUCACGUUAGCCCAGUGUAACCCUCAGGAAAUAAGUGUGGUGGGAUUAACUGAUAAGUACAUAAUUCGCAUCUAAGAGUAUUAUCUUGGGAUGAAACAGUGCUUAAGUCUUCUCAGAUGAUUCUCUGCUACAACGCACUCCCUGCAACGAACCAACAAUAAUAUAAUGAUGUGUCUUUUGUGCAGAUGGAAUCUCAAAGCAAGUAUUUAAUGGGGCUGAUGGAUUACAAGAAAAUGGAGGCGAAUGAAAUGAAUAUUUAAUAACCUCAUUAUAAGAAAUAGAUCUCAUUGCAUAGUCAUACUAUAGCAUACAACAAUGCUGGAGCACAUAAAGGGCUGUAAUAAUUGAACUAAAUGAAAAAUCCAGCUGAGUUUAUCCAUGGAUGGUACAUGAAAGGCUGAUGUGGCUGUCAGUUAAUGAAGAGUUUUGUUUGAAGCCUCUGGUUUUGCAUUUUGGAGGUGACCAUCUCCCUCUCUUUUUUAAGUUAAACGUGACCAUGAUUGAAAAAUUGUUGGAUAUGCAUUGAUGUGUCUCUACUGUAGUCGAAAAAUAUCCAGUGUUAAUUUGACUUUCACAGAGUUUUUAUAGCUCCACACUCUCUUAAAGUAUUUUUAAAGUGUUCAACUAACACUUUAAAGUACUUCAAAAUUUCAAAGAGUUACCUUUUUACUUACUUACUAACACACCAUGGGGGUGUGGAGGUCAGUCUUUGCUUGCCUGGCGUCUUUUAGUAAGGAGGUGAUGAUGGAAACUUUUCUGGUCACAGCUCUUUUUGAGAUUAAGAUUUUUUUUAAAAAGGAAAAUUUUAGGUUUUCACUGAUUUCAAUUAGUCAGCAACCAUGAUUGAUACAUGUGGCCAAAAAGAUUAUGUGAAAAGUAAAAAUAACAACCUUGAAUAUCAAAUUACCUUUGGAAAGACUCCAUGCUCUCAGCUUCAAUUAGCAGAUCAACAUGACACCUUUACUGUAAAGUCCUGGCAGCAUUUAAGUGCUCUGAAAAGUACAGAUGUUUUUUUCGUUGUACGCUCAAAAAUGUAAGACUGUAACAAUGUAAGUGUGACUUUAUGUCACUUACCCUGUACAAGUGCAUGAGAGGAGAAUAUUUGUGUGUCUGUGUCUCGACACAAAGUGAAACAGGUGGGCGACCCGGGCAGAACGUAGAUAAGUUCUCUGCAGAUUUAAGCCGAAAACAUACAGGAUCCGUAUUGGGCGCAUUCCGUAUUUGCUCUGCAGAGCAGCCCUUGGUAUCGCGUACAGGAUGCGUAUAGGAGAAAACAUCAUGCUCACAACGGGUUGCUUUGCCUUUCUGUGGUCUAUUUCCUGCUAAUUUGGAUAUAAUUCAGUGACUGUUGAGCCUCUACUAUACAUGAAAAAGCAACAUGAUUUUACAGUUUCGUGUUUUGCAGGUUUACUUGUGUUUAAUUAAGUAAACUAUGUUCCUUUGUGCUGCGCUGUUACCUUCAGACAGAGUUAGCAGUUAAAAGUCCUAUUGGGGUCCACAUGGAUCAGGGAUUGACCAUCGGAUUGUUCUGUGUUACUGAUAAAUCCAUAAUCAGGAGGUAUUUCUUAUCUACAUGAACUGAUACACAGUCAGGAGUUAAAACAAAAGUUUUUUUUUAAUUUUUUUUAUCCAAGUUGAGGUCAAAACAGCAUUUUUCUAUUCUUACCAGGGCAGAAAAUAACAGCAGCACUGGUAGAGGGUCCUCUACCCUGUAACUCCUUGUUGUGAGUUCUAGUUUGUGAUUACUUUGAGUUUGCUCUCUUCAAUUUGACUGAUGUCCCUUUCACCAAGCUCUUUCUGCUGCUAGCUUCUGCAUUGUUUCAUUUCUCAUUUUCUUUGCUGUUUACAGGUCACCUGUUCUCCACAAAUCCCGUGUUUUGUGUUCCCUAAAUGCAUUGAGGUUUAAGUUUUCAAAUAUCCUCAAUGUUGUUUAGUAAUUCUAUUGGCCAUCUGUUUUUGCAGUAUGUCUACCAGGUAGAGGUGAAAAUGUUAACUUUUAACACCUUCCAUACACUCCUGUGAAUUGAUUUGAUAAGAUCUGUGAUCUGGUUGCUCGUGGUGUCACUCUAGUUAUUUAGAAUUAGCCUUGUUUGGGGUUUUUGACCAAUCAGAGUUCAAUAUUCAACACAGAAAUCAAGGGAGUAAUUGCAUUGAUUUUCCAUGCCACAUAGUCUUUUUCUUAUCAGCUUUUUCUAAGGCAAAGGGAUCAAAGGGAAGUCUUUUUUUGCCAUGAAUCUGACCUAUUUGAACUUCAACAGACCCACAACUACGUCUAUGCUUUCACAUCUGUUUCAGGUCCUCAUAAAAUAAUGUUGAACAUUUACUUGAGGAAUCAUUGGGUUCUGAUUUAGAACAACUUGUUCAUAUAUGUCAACAGCUUUGAGUCACUACCCAGUUAUUAUAGAGUCUGUGGUCAUCAUACCAAAAUAAAUUUGUUGACCAGACUUGUGAUAACCAAUCUUUGGGCUACAAGACUAAAAAUCAUCUGCAGUCACCGCAUAAUUUUUGAGUUAUUUUUAGGGCUUUUUUGCUUUUUUUUAAAAGUAGGACAGCUGAGAAGAGACAGGGAGUGCUGGGAGUAGAGCAAGAGCCGAUCAGUAUGGACAAUGCUCUUCCUUCUAUUGUGAGAAGUCAAGCUAAAAUACCAGUGAAGUGGGUGCUUGAACUUUAGGCUGGUGGUGUAGUGUGGCAGGUUCGUUGUGAGGACCCAGAAGCAGACACUGAGACUGAGAUCAACUUAAAGAGAAUUUUAAUGUCCAAACAGAAGAGGUAGAUAAUGCAACAGAGGAUGUCCGGUAGGCUGGUUGGCUGGCUUUCGUGUGGGCUGGAGACACUGCAGGAAAAACCAGAGGAGAUGGAAGUUAUUGUACAUGCACAGAAUCACGAGGAGCAAAGUUUUGAUGAUUAUACAAACGAGGUUGGCCAGGAGACGCGUCUUUACCGCUAGGAAGGGUAGACAAUACUCAGGCGCUGAGACUGAGGGCUGCAGGCUUCUUAAAGUGCCUUGAUUGGAGAUGUGGAGCAGGUGUGUAGUCUCGCUCAGCCUCAGCGCCGGGGGAGGGGAGGAAGCCCUGGAAAAGAGUAAAGCCAAACCAGGCAAACAGGGAAACAAAGGAAGUCCAGCCAAAAUAAAACAAGAUGAGGAGGCAUCUCACCACAGGUGGAGCGGCAGAAUAACACCACAUUUCCUCUCUCAACCAAAACUAAUAUAGAAACAAAUGGUAAAACCCCUUCAGGUUUAUUAAACAUUUUAUCUCAAAUCAAAAUACAAAGUUUAUAGAAAACUGAACACUUGCACAGAAAUCCGCGGACAAAGAACUAAAUGUCAUGAGAGAAUGUCUAUUGCUGUUAGCCAUGUGUUUUAAUUUUCCAGUUGGAUCCAUGCCUUUUUUGUUAUAAUGGAUGAGGUGGACCUUAAGACCUGUACCGCAACCAGUCACCAGGGGGAGCUCGAAAGGUUUUAACUUUACUCAGUUACUCUGUUAAUAGUUUGAUAGAGUCUACAGAGCUGACAUGUAGCAAAAAGUCAAGGCAGGAGUCAAUGUGCAACUAUUGGUACAUGAAGAUAUUCUAAGUCAGGAAAUGGUCGAGAAUGGCAGCAGCUUAAGAUGAAUCAUCCAGCUCGAGACCAAUCCUGACAAAGGUUGCUAAGGUUCAUGGACCAGAAGAAGAGAAUAGACCAGCUUGAGAAGGGAAAGAUGCUCCUGCUCAAUGAGGUGAACCAGCCAAGGCAUUAGCACCAAGGUCAAAGAGAUAAAGACAUCCUCAGGAUUAGAGUCCUGCAGGUGGAGCUGUACAGAAAAGGUAGCUGUUUCAAGGGCUUCAGCGCUGGAAGAAAAUCAGGAUGAAGAAGAUUUUGGGUGCUUGGUUCAACAUUGUAGAUGUAAAUUCAAGACUACAUAUCGUUGCUGUCCGGUGAAAAACACAUAUCUCCACUUUUGGCUAGACCCUCCAGGAAUCUGCAGAAAAUAAGUUUUGAUUCUGCGGAGAACAAUCCUGAUUCUACAGAGAAAAAUUUUUGAUUCUGCGGAAAUCCGCGGCUCGAAAGUUGAGAUUCCGCAGACAUUAAAAAGCCAACCUAAAAUUUCCAGUUCUGAAGCAAACAUAUUUUUUCAUGUCAUAAUAAAGAAAAAAAUAAUAAUUAUGAAAUGAAUUGCAAAACCAAAACACUAUGAAACGUUCAUAAAUAAUCAAUCAACAUCAAUAUUCUCUUUGUCCCCCUUGGUCAGAUUUAUUUGCAGCAACUUCAGGAAUAAUAUAGUGCAUAUUAUACUGUCACAAAAUGAAGCAACAGUCAGAUAAUAAAUGUAAACAAAUACAAGUGCAGAAUAUUUUUCCAAACUAUCAUGGGUGAUGGCUUAGAAACACAAAUGCCUGGAGCUGUGAUUCUCACACAAAAAAUAUACAGCUUUGCUGCUGGCGUCGGAGGAUUUUGUUGGAGAAAGCACUCCAUUUCAAGUGUCGCUGGAGCUGCUUGCUGUCGCUCAUCAUACGCUGUGUUUUUUACUCCAUUAAAAAUAUGCCAUCCGCUCUACAGCCCGCCUAUCCAUCUGGGAUCCUCCUUACACACACGCACCACAUCGCACAAGCAACCAGGUGACACCAAACCUUUCUGCAUUCGGCUGUGAGUUCCAGUUCCCGUCUAUCUGACCACGUCAUCGAGCGGCCACUAUAAAAACUACAUGUAAAAUAUAAUAUUCUGCACCGCGCCUUGUAUUCUGCAGACUACUUUCACUUUCACUGAGGACUUUGAAAUCUGCGAUAAUUUCUGCAAUCGCGGAUUCCUGGAGGGUCUAUUUAGCGAUCUAGACAUUUUUCAAUGCAUGCAUGGUCCAUAAUAUUCCCUGAGAACCUGUAGCUUUGGGUAUCCAUGGCCGAUGAAAAGACAUUUUAUGACAUCAUCUUUUUCACAAGUAUCUCCAUUGGGUGUCGGCAGUGUCAACAAAGCAUGUAUCUCCUGCCCUGGCCCUGCGUUGUCAGGUCAGCAAGCAGAAUUUCCACUGUGACAGACUUAUUACAGUCCAUAGUAAUGCUACACUAAUGUCCUCACAUCGACUGAUGCCGACCUCAAACAGUGUUGCUUAACUGUGCAUUCUUGAGCCGAAGUUCAUCCCUAGAGGAAAAGCUGUGGCUGUUUUCUCUCUCACACUUGUUGACUAUCGUAUCACUUUGUUGUGUUCUCGCUAUCUUUUAAUUUCUCCGCUAGCAUUUAAAUGAAAUCAGAGCCAGAAUUUUAUUGAAAACCAAUUAAUUUAGUAGCAUAAGAAUACAUAGUACAUUUUUCAGUUGGUUUUUCAGUAUACCUGCAUCUGUCGCGGACACUAGUGCAUGUUCAAUUGGGAGUUGCGACUCAAAAAGUUUGACAACCAGUGUGCCAUGUUGAAAUGUAGGAUAGCCCACUGUCAAUAGUUUUUCAACAUAGUGGGACAUAAACAGGACAGUUGAAGCUCGUAAAUAACCGAACAUCAUUAGAGCGCAUUAUUAAAAAAAAAACAUGUAUGUCCACUAUCACUCACAAGGCAAAGCACGUAAGUCUGUUUAAAAUAUCAGUUAUGUCACUGAUGACUGUGUAAAUAUAGAUUUGACGGCCUGUUUUUAUCCAAAACAAGCUCCUUUUUUGUUACAAGACUCAAAGAACAAGGCUUGUAACAACCGAAGUCAUGAGGGACUAACACGCUGAGUUAGGAUUCGAGGGUUGCAGGGCCACUCUAAUGACGCUAAAGAAACCUUACAUUUCUUACAUUUGUGAUCUGAACAAAAAUUUUCAUCUCUUAUUUGCAGAUAAGACCCUGGUACAACUACGAGGGCACUGCCUCUGGAUCUCAAAGUGCUCUCUGGCUUGCACAAGACUUCAAGGAUUGGGAUAUGGCCACGGGACAUAGCCAGCUGAGCCAUGAAAGUAGAAUCUUAAAAAAUCAAUUCUGAAACUCGCAGGUAGCUGCAGAGAGAUCAUUUCUCCUUCAAGCACUGCUGCAGCAUUUUUGGAGGGGCUGUAAGGGGGGGAAGAAACACAUUUCAGAAACUGCACAGAGGGACAGAGUAAGUCACAGUAAUCCAAAAUGAGAAAAUAAAAUAUUGAGGACUUUCUCCAGGUGUCCCUGGCAUGAAAAGGUUUCAGUUUAGGUACAUUUCUCCUGUCAGCAGGUGGUUUCCUUGGAUGUCCAGGCUAGUAAGAUAUGACAGCUUUGGUGUAUUGUCACUUUAGAGAUCACACAGCUGAAGUAAAUUGAAAAAAGGUAAAUGAGGCAAAUACUUGACAUCACAUAUUUGAUGUUACAGCCCAUUUCUUGAGGUUUGAAGAUGUCUUGAUAGAGCCGAGCCAAGGUGUUUCUCCUUUAGCAGAGAAAUUGACAGGUUUUACAGCUGAGGGGAAAAAAGAAAACGUGAUGAGAAAUGCAGCGUCCUUCCAGCCUCAAAGUGUGACAUUAGCCUUCCCCUUUUUUGCUGACAGCUAAAGAAAAAAAGAUAAUGUCCAAUGUCCCCACAGCAACCGUUCACAGCUGAGUGUGAGUCAGCAAGCAGCUCAAGUUGAAAUGGCAGGAGCUGCUCUCGGUUAUUUUCCGAACACUCAGAAUGCCUCACAUACCGAAGCCGAGACCUUUGGUAUGAACUCUGAAGUCUGCUCUGGGUGAUAGCAGGUUAAUGGAGACACUUGGGGUACAUGAGGCUGCACUCGUCAGGUUGUAAAAACGUAAGCUGUCCAUUUUUUUUAUAUCAGAGUUGUCAUUCAGAUAAACUGUAGCACUGCUAGCCCAGAGUGAUAUGAAACCAUGACAUAAGAAAACAUCCUUGUAAAAUAAAUAUAUAUGCUGGUGUGUCUGUGCAAAAUAUCCCAUCAGAGUUGAUACGGUGUGCAGUCUUCCUGAAGAUAAUUUGGAUAACUCACUGGCUCUCUCUGAUCCCUGAUUCAUUUGCACUUUUCAGGAGUUCCGUUUUGGUUGCUCCCUGUAUAUCAUAGAGGUCCAGUAUGUGUCGAACUUGGUUGGUCUUUACCACAGUUAAGUAAACUGGGUCACAACCUGCUCGCAUGAAGACUUCCAUUGACUCAGAGCUAAGCAGUGAUGAUUCACACACAUUAAAAUGGUGCCCUGCUGCCCUCUGACAUCUGACAGUCAAUUGGUGUUGGCUCAAAGUCAGAGUGUCCCUGGGUGAAACAGUACGACUGCUAGCAAGAUGACGAGACGCCCACACCAACCUAACUUUCUGUCAACAAGUCUAUUUAAAUCAAAUUCACUGUGAAAACUACGAACAAUACACUCUCAGUCCUUGCACUUUGUAUUGGUGAUAGUGUGGCUUUGGUAUGAUUGAAAUUCCUCCACUUGAAUGAUUUCCACUGAAAGCCCACAACUGCCUGUAUUCUAGAUAUUUUAGAAGUGACAAAAGGCUCAAUGACUACACAUAUAAUAUUUGAUGUUAAUUGUGCAGACUUAACACUGGAUUAUAAAAGUUUCCAUAGUGACCAGCUGCCUGAUGUGGCUGAUUUAACAAUUUCUUAACUUUGUGUGCAUAUUAAGUGACAUUAAUGACCCUGAAAGUAAUUACUUUGGAGACCUGUGCCUUUCAGCUCAAUUUCUAAAGACCUUUUCUUUACAGAUCUUUUAAAGACAGAACACGGAGAGGGGGAAAAAAUGAGUAAAGUCCAAUCAACUUUACUUUGUAAAACUUUGUCACAGUCCUGCUGAUCAGAACUGCAAGUUACAAUCAGUACCAUCACCUGAUAAUCAGCCACUUUAUCUAAACAUAGCAGAUGAGGUCUCACAGUCACUGUGAAGCCAGGGAGUGGCCUAAAUGUCCUUAUUUUUUUUAAAAGACGGAUGGUUUAAGUUAUUGAUUAGUCUCAUUUGUGAUCACUGCCUCUCACACUUGUUUAAAAUAUCCUAAACUUACUUUCAUAGUGGUCCCCAUUUUAUACAUCCUGUUCAGCACCAUAAGAUCCUAUAGCAAAUGCACUCUGACACCUUUGGUUGUCAGCCUUUACAAAAACGUUUUUUUUUUAAGUCUUGUUACUCCAAGCAAGCGGGAGACAAUAUUUCAUAGACAAGUUUGAAAGAGAUGACUGGAGGUCAACUCUUACGCACCCUGUAUAUGAAUGUAACUUGCUCUGCAGGCUCUUCAAUAACACAGUGUUGUUUUCAGAGCAGCUCAAACAUGGCCAUGUUAAUUCUGUGUCAUUUGAAUCUCCAUCAUAUGUCAUCAACAAAACAAUUUUUUAACCGUUAACAGCUGUGUAAAGCAGGCAAACCUCACAGACUGUGUAGUUUAUCUAUCUGAGCCUUGUACAUAUUCAAGCUUUACUUUUUUAGUUAGUAAGCACCACCAACAUCCAGCAAACAAAACACUUAGGAAACAUGUUUUACAACUUAAAGAAAAUAAAUCUUUAUUUCAUUACAUACAAUCUUAUAAUUUCGGUGCACGCUAAACCUUAGCAAAAUUUUAAACCAUGAGAAACCAUGGAUGUUGGCAUAAUCACUGGAUGUGUUACACUCAUAGACUGUAUAAAGAAUGGACAGCGUCUGCCUCCUCGCUGGGUGAAGCCACUCCAAGAACAGCACCCUCUGUUGAUGGGCUGCAGUAUAGGUCAUAAAUCCUGCCUCCGCCAGCAAAGCUUAUGGGGCUUUGGACAAACUUUGGAAAUUUAUUACACAGAAUAUAAAUUUCUCAGUUCAGGGAUUGCGUAGCUUACCCGGGAGGAUACACUGUUUGAGCCGAGCGUCAUCACAGCGACUCUCUGCGACUGCGCGGCCGAAUGCGCGCAUUGCUACUGCGCAGCGCUGGUUUCAGGAAAUGAAGAAAAAUCCCGGAAUUACCGAGAGCUUUUUGGCUUCAAAUCCAUAUACAGACGGUAGGCGUAACCAAGUUGUCCAUAGUAUAUACAGUCUAUGGUUACACUACACUUGUACUGUUGCCCAUCCAGCAUUUUCCUCAUGGACACUCCAACUUGGAUGCUCUCUCAAACUUUCCUCAACUGUUUCAAUGGCCGGCUUUUACACCUCCCUGCACUUUGCUGAUUCACUGUGUCUUGUAAAGUGUUUUUGUUGUUGUUGUUGUUGUUGUUGUUGUGUGUGUGUGUGUGUGUGUGUGUGUGUGUGUGUGUGUGUGUGUGUGUGUGUGUGUGUGUGUGUAAAGAAGAAAUGUAAGGAAAUCAAAGCUACCUUCUCCUCCCACAGACAAAGGCACAAAGAAAACAGUGGGACUGUAUCUUGUUUUUUAGGACAAUAACAGCUAUCAGUUUGUGGUAGCUACACCACUGAUGAUUCCUCUGUAAACAAGGUCCAAAUUGAGCUGGAUUUGCAUCUUAUUUGUUACAGAGAAGUUGGGCUGUUCUGUCCACAAAGACCAGAACUGUAAGUACCUCAUGAUGAAAGAAUCUGACCAUCAUUUAAUUAUCUCUAUAGCAGAUAUCUGUGUGCAAUUUCAGUCAAUACACCAUACUGGAUCACCUUGAUGCUGUGGUGCAAAAGCUUACCAUUUUACUGCCUGAAAUGCACCAGACAUGUUCAAGGUUCUGUUUGAAGUUUAGUUAUAUCAGUUUCAGGCCUGAGAGGGGUAGGAUUUGUACUCCAAAAAUCUUUAUAUUGAGUUUGUCUCCGCAAGCUUUGGUUCUUUAGAUUAUGAGUAAAUAAAUGUCUUUCUUUGUCUUGGUCAUCCUGCCGAAAUAAGCCAGAGAGAAGCCUGUGAGUAAAUGACUGUCUCCUGUCAAACUGACACCGUGGAUUCGAUGACCUCUCUGGAGGCUGUAUACAAGUCAAAAGAAAAAGGAACUCUUGGCUGGAAGUGUUUAAACUCUUACUGCUGGAUACACCUGGAUUACUGAAAACUUGGCACCCUUUCUCAGAGGUGUACAGUAUAUACUGCAAAUCUUUGUCAAAAGGUGAUGGACAAUGAUUGUCAAUGGGCUCCUAGAUAGAUUGCAAGCCAUGUCAUCAGUUAAAAACUGCAUGGAAAAUCCUCUAAAAGGCUGUGAAAAAAAAAAAAAUACCCACCAUUGACAGCUAAAGUCAGGUAAAGAGAUUAAGUUGCUGCCCAAAGUUUGAGGAAGCAACAUUUAUCACUUCUAUAGUCCCAGAUACAUUUUUAAAUAGCUAAAAUGAAUCAUAAAAAGUUUCAACCCUUUUGUCACAAAGGGAGAAAUGAACCAAACCAAUGAUUUUUAAACUGCUAUUCAGUACCAGGGUUUAUUUAUCAGUCCUUGGAUCGAAAGAAAUACCUGACCAAGUAGUUUGACCAACCAGCCUAUGCCAGCUUCAAUGAAAACAGCAGUUAUUCAUUUUUUCACACAGUAUCUAUGCUACAGAUUGGGCUUACAGGCCACAAUUAGGGAGUUCUGCUUCACUUUAAGUGCUGUAAUUAACUUGUUCAUUAGCCACAGGUGGUAUCUAUUUUUAUCAAACACCUGCGUUGAUACAUCCUCAGUGAUUAAGUCCUUGAUAUCCGUAGCAGCAGACAAAAGUAGGGACUAGCCAACAUGAUGGAACCAUUUACCCAAUUCAAUCAACUUUAAUUGUAAAGUACAAUUUAGGAAAUAGUUAUGGUGCUGCACAGAAAGAUAAUAAGCAGAAAUAAUAUUAAAGAAUAAAACAAAUAAAAGCCAGAAGAUCACAUACAAGGACAGUAAAAUCUGAUCAGUAGACCUCAAAGACCUUGAAGGAGUGUAGACAUUGACGAGGUCAAAGAUAUACUGUGGUGCUAUUUCAUUUUAAGGUUUAAAAACACAUAAGAUCUUAAAAAGAAUCCUAAAAUGAACAGUGAGGGGAAGUAAGGAUAGACAGGACUAACCCACAUUUUGAAAGAACGUAACAUAGAAUCACAACAUAACCUUAUCAUUGUCCACACCUCAUAUCUUUGUUAGGGGGCAGCACAAGUGGUUAAUGUUGAAUCUGAUUGGGGUACAGACAGUGGGGUGUUGGGGUGUAGACACUAAAAAGAGCAUGGGAGAGAUCGUAGCUGAUGAACAAGAUGCAAGAUAACUAACAUUAAAAGUGGCUCACUAUGACCUGCCAUACUGCUGAUUGUUUGUAGGAGACGGAGGUACAGCCUACACCCACAAAGCCAUAGUUCAAGCUGUGCUUUCAUUCAGGACAUAGGACUGCUUGCUUUUCAGUUUUAAUCAAAUCAGAGAACAAAAAUUUAACAACACUGACACCUCUUUAUUCUAAUUUCAUAACUUUUUUUCUAACCAUAGUAAAACCAAACACAACCAAUUGUUUUGACACAAACAUGACUUCAACAUGAAACGUUUCAUUCUUUAUUAGUUUAAGUGAAAUAACAUAGUUUAACCCUUAUUGCUUCUAUAGAAACAAAAACACUGCCUGUCACUUGACAGUAAAAUGAUACAUAUCUCUAACACACUUUUCCCAUGACUAAAGAAACAUAUUAAAACAAAAAGUAGCCGGACAUACUUUCCCCCCUUAGCAUGCUGUAUGUGGUUAACUAACUAUAACUUAUGAGAAGUGUGUGCAGGGUCACACACUUCUCACUCUCUCACACACACACACACACACACACACACACACACACACACACACACACACACACACACACACACACACACAACCAGGCCAUGUUUGACUUCUCCUUUGGGUCUUGGUUUUUUUUUUGUUUGUUUGUUUUUUUCUUAGCAGUGUUUGUCUGUAGCAGCUUAGCAGUGCUUAGCUACAUGGCACAUCAAGGCACAUCUGGGCUGGUGAGCAACCAAGGGUAGAUCUCAAUUAUUAUAAUUUUGUUUUAUUUAUCAUUUUGGGUCACACAGAACAGAAAAAAAAAAAAAAAAAAAACACUUUGACUAAAGGGCACUUUGGGCAUCAAGGGGCGAAAAGGCCAACUUGUUUUAAGAAUACUUUAGGCUUUGAUAUCCUCAUGAUGGUUAAAUAAGGAUUUCAGUGGGCCUUCAUUGUUUCUUUUUAAGAGGAGAUAGAUUUGUGUAUCAUCUGCAUAUAUGUGGUAAGAGACAUCGGGCUCUAUUUUCAUGUCCGCCGGUGAGGCGGAGGGUGGUGGACCCCACGCAGUGGUAUUUUUGUCUGGCGGAGCCUGGAGUACAGCCAGUUUGGUAGUUUCGUGGACUGAGGCACACGAGGUCCGCCAAGUUGGGUGUGGUUGCGUGGCAGAGGGAGGUUUUGACAGAAUCAGCUGCUGCAGUGACAUUUCCGUGCUCACCGGUGGCACAUAAAGUGCGCAGAAAGCUCGCAGAUUCAAACCUGGUCAGCUUUCAGCGCAGGCGGAGCGCAGCUCGUCUAGUGGUAUUUUGGUAGACCGGCGGCAUAUCAGCAUACGUCACAGAUGCUUCACCGGCAGGUUUCCACAGUGUCAGGCACAUUUCAGUGCAAUAAAUAAUGAACAACAACUAAUAAUCUGAGUCAGCACAUACAUUUAGAUCUAUACAGAUAUAUUCUGAUCUAUAUCUGAUCUGUUGAGUGCGUUUGGCACGCCUUUGGACACACAACCUGACCGAAUCAACACAGCUGAAACCGCAUUAAAUUAUAUUAAAUAUCUAGUAAAUAGACACACAUGAUGAAGUUAACAAGAUAUGUAAUUCAUCUCCCUCCUUUUCUUUCUUCCUCUUCCUCUUAUUUCUCGCGCAGCUCGACCUGGACAUGUCUCCGUGUCCUCUCCCCGUCAUGCUGCAGCUGCAGCUGCUGCUGCAGUGGCUGAACAGAUGAUUUGUUUCAGUGAUCAGAUGAGUUAUUUACUUUAAGCCUACAUACAAAUAUUAUAAUAUUCAGUUUUGUAAGCCAAAUUUAUUUUAUAUGCCAACAUCUAUGAAAGAAAGAGCCAGGCCACGGAGCGCAAUGCGUCAUUACGUACAGGUGGUUGCGAUUUUAAUGCCAUUAUUGGAAUUUAUGUUGUGAUCUCUGCGCACAACCCACCAUUGUCACGUGAGGUUUGAAUAUAUGCAACUUUAUGUGAGUGUCUUUAUUUGUGGAAAAGGGUGUUUGUCUUACUAGUGGCUCCAAUAUUACACACACUAAAUCCCUCUGUGCUUAUAUGAGAGAGUGUGAAGGAUGCCCUCUGCAGUGUUUACAGCAACACUUGUUGAGGAGCUGCCUUCUGUCACCAUCGUGUAGCAUUGCUGUCUUCAAACAUCUCUUGAUCUUUUUGACUACUUAACGUUGCCUGGUGAACGUUCCAGGUGAAUGUGAUAAAAUGCAAACAGUAUGGGCCCAACAAUCUUAAUACCCAAACAAUGGUCUGGGUGAGAGACAGAGAUGUGUAAUCAUCUGUUUCAACAGCAGCAGUUAGAUGUAAAAGCAUUACAAUGGCAGCAUCACCAGAGUCAGUGGUCAAUACGAGAUAAUUACAAGGUCAGCCUGAUCUUUAUUUAGUUAAAACAGAAGAAUCCAAAUGGGGUUUUUGCUGUUGUGCGUCAACAUGCCAAAUAAUCCAUUCCUGUAGGUUUAAAUAUUCUCUUUUCUCAAACACUGAGAGUAAGGACAUGUUGGCUUAGAUAUGGGGUUGGGAGUGGUUGAUUGACACUCACUGGUCUGUAGUCCACAAGAAUCAUUAGUGACUGAUUACCUCCCCCUCUUGCAGACAGCCAAUCAUCUCCAGCCAUUUUCCUGCAACAUAGUCAAUUCCACUCAGUCCUGCUCAAUGAAAACACAACACAGCAGGCAAGACUAUGGCAACAAAACUUAAUGAUUUAUAAGAGAGACCAAACCUGCAGAGGGCUGUGUUGACCACUCCUUGUAGAGAUGACUUUGCCCUGAGAGGGAUUUGUGGCUGAAAGUGAAACUUCAUAAGAUCAAUAAUGUCAGGGACUGUCAAUAAUGACUUGCAUAUGUUUAUUGAUAUGCUGACAACCCAAAGAAUGGCUUGUUUGUCCAAAGGCUUACGACAGAUCAAUAAGCUUGUUGAAGUUCAGUGACAUUACAUGUUCACUGGCCUUCACAGGACUUAAUGAUGUGUUGCUGCAGUCAUAUAUCUCAGUGUAUUUCCCCUCUGGUGUCAGCUGCUAAGAAUGCAAGAAUAGUUAGAUUUAGUCAAACACCUGUAAGUUUAGGACAGGUACAUUUACAUCAAGAAAACUGAAUCAAUCUGUUUAUUUGGUAUCAGUCUGACCAAGGAUUCAUAUAGUCUCUGACAGCAGCACAAAACCACCUCAUCAGGAAACAUUUAUUAAAUUGUGUAUACCUGAUGCCCCCUUUCUUUGAAGAAAAUGCUGAAAAUUUUCACAGUAAUUCAGACAAUUUUUUAGAGUGCCUCAUGCAAGUGUUUUCUAAAGAGUGAAGUCACCAAAAUGACCUCAAAAGCGUAUUUUUUGCUUCAUGCCAAAUUAAGACAAACAUGUUGGAAACAUUUUGGGGCCAUUUAAAAACGUUAAGAUUUUAUAUUAUUAAUUCAGCUUUGUUUCUGUUGGUUCUUCUCUCCGCCUCUUUGUUUGCAUGUUAGUUUUGGUAGUCCACAUUAGCUUUAUUGUAGGCUAGAAGUGACUCUACCAACCAAGUUGACCUAUUCCCUGAUUUAAAAUUGAGGGCUCUAUUUUCGUGUCCGCCGGUGAUGCGGAGGGUGGUGGACCCCACGCAGUGGUAUUUACGUCUGGCGGAGCCCAGCGUACAGCCAGUUUGGUAUUUUCGUGGACUGAGGCGCACCAAGGUCCGCCAAGCUGGGCGUGGUGGUGUGGCAGGGGGAGGUGUCGACAGAAUCAGCUGACGCAGUGACAUUUUCGUGCUCGCCGCCGGCAUGUAAAGUGGGCUGAAAGCUCGCUGAUUCAAACCUGGUCAGCUUUCAGCGCAGACGGAGCGCAGCUGGUCUAGUAGUAUUUUGGUAGACCGGCGGCAUAUCGGCAUACGUCACAGAUGCCUCACCGGCAGGUUUCCACAGUGUCAGGCACAUUUCAGUGCAAUAAAUCAUCAUCAACAACUAAUAAUCCGAGUCAGCACAUACAUUUAGAUCUAUAUCGAUAUAUUCUGAUCUAUAUCUGAUUUGAUAAGCGCAUUGGCACGCGUUUGGACACUCAACCCGACCGAACCAACACAGCUGAAACCACAUUAGAUUAAAUUAAAUAUCUAGUAAAUAGACACACAUGAUGAAGUUAACAAGAUAUGUAAUUCAUCUCCCUCCUCUGUCUCUUAUUUCUCGCACAGCUCGACCUGGACAUGUCUCCGUGUCCUCUCUUCGUCCUGCUGCAGCUGCUGAACAGAUGAUUUGUUUCAGUGAUCAGAUGAGUUAUUUACUUUAAACCUACAUACAAAUAUAAUAUUCAGUUUUGUGAGCCAAAUGUAUUUUAUAUACGAACAUCUAUGAAGGAAAGAGCCAGGCCACGGAGCACAAUGUGUCACAGAUGGUUCCGAUUUUCAUGCCAUUAUUGGAAUUUAUGUUGUGAUCUGUGCGCACAACCCACCUUUGUCACGUGAGGUUUGAAUAUGUGCAACUUUAUGUGAGUGUCUUUAUUUGUGGAAAAGGGUGUUUGUCUUACCAGUGGGUACAACCUUACACACACCAAAUCCCUCUGUGCUCAUAUGAGAGUGUGAAGGACGCCCUCUGCAGCGCUUACAGCGACACUUGUUGAGGGGCUGCCUUCUGUCGCCAUCGUGUAGCAUAACUGUCUUCAGCCAUCUCUUGAUCUCUUUGACUAAUUUACGAAAAUUGUAAUACGCCUAGUUGUUGGCAGAUUUAAAGGCGAGGAGAGGAGCUGAUGUUAUUGGUGAAAACAGGUCUGGGCUGUGUUAAAUCCACUCCACGCCCUCUCUCCUCCCUCCCCACGACUUACGCAGCUGGGAGGAGCUGAGUUAGGGAGGGGGGAUACUUACGCCAGGCUGCGCUGCUCACCACUACUUACACAUUAGCGUUAUUCGCAAUGUCAACAUCGCAACCAGAGGGAGGAAACAUAGAUAUUCUGUGUUAUUAAUUUUUAAAGUUUGUCCACAGCUCCAGAGGGAUUGCUGGAAGAGGCGGGGUUUAUGACCUAUACAGCAGCUUGUCACUAGAGGGUGCUGUUCUUCACCCAGUGAGGAGGCAGAUGGCAUCCAUUCUAUAUACAGUCUAUGGGCUCUAUUUUCGUGUACGCCGGUGAGGCGGCAGAGGGUGGCGGACCCCGCGCAGUUGUAUUUUCUUCUGGCGGAGCCCGGCGCACAGCCAGUUUGGGUAUUUUCGUGGACUGAGGUGCACGGAGGCGAGCCGAGAUCGGCCAAGCUGGGUGUGGUGGCGUGGUAGGGGGAGGUUUCGACAGAAUCAGUGGGCGCAGUGACAUUUUCGUGCUCAACAGUGGCAUGUAAAGUGCGCUGAAAGCCUCACCGGCAGGUUUCCACAGUGUCAGGCACAUUUCAGUGCAAUAAAUCAUCAUCAACAACUAAUAAUCCGAGUCAGCACAUACAUUUAGAUCUAUAUAUAUAUAUAUAUUUUCUGAUCUAUAUCAGAUCUGAUGAGCGCGUUUGGCACGCGUUUGGACACACAACCUGACAGAAUCAACACAGCUGAAACUGCGGCAGAUUUAAAGGCAAGGAGGGGAGCUUAUGUGAUUGGUGAAAACAGGUCUCGGCUGUGUUAAGACCACUCCACGCCCUCUCUCCUCCCUUGCUACGACUUACGCCGCUGGGAGGAGCUAAGUUAGGGAGGGGGGAUACUUACGCCGGGCUGCGCUGCUCACCAAAAUACCAAAUUGUGCUCGGGAACGCCUUGUUGGCGCGGUGGACCUGACUUACGCCGCGCCUGCACGGCACGUCUCCGGCGAGGCACGAAAAUAGAGCCCUAUGGGUUAAUCACAUUACCCUCAAGUUUUAUCUAUUCAUUUCCCUCUUGCGUCACAAUACUUCCCACCAAAGAUGCAUGAAGAUAUUCAAAGAAACAAAACAUGGAAGAAUAAGAACACAGAGAUUUGACAUCAGGUCAUGUCUGUUGCAUUGUUUAUUUCCAAUAUUUCUACAUCAGAUUUUUUUGCAGUUAAAUCUGUUGGAUAGUGAAACAGGAAAAAAAAUAGAUAAAGCUCAAAUGUAAUACCAUGUCAUGAUGAAUUUAUAAAACUUAAGCUCAGUAUUUUGAGCAUAAAUAAUUAAAAAAUAUAAUUUUUGCAUUAAUAAAAUGCAUAUUUUAUUUUCACAAAUCACAACCCAGAUGUCAAGAAACCAUCCUUUUUUAUAUAUACCUUUUUCAAGGCACUCCUGGGUGACUGUUUUAAGGCCUGGCUUUGUUACAAAACUCUCAUGAUGUUUAGGUUUGGAUAAGUUUGUGAAGCUGCAUCAUCCAACUAGUGAGUGAUAUUAAAAAAGCCUGUCUCUCAGUAGACUUCUGUGUGAAGUGCUCCCAUGUAUCCUUGCUUAUCACUUCUCUGCUUUCCCUCAUCUCCCCUUGAUCUCCUUUUCCUUGAACAGUGACGAGGGCGUAAGCAUGAUGCUUGUCACGGCGGGUCUAUUCAUACUGUUCAACUCUCUCUGAGCCUGGACUGACACUUAAUUUAUUGAGAAUCUGACUGGCCCUAAUUUAAAUGUACUUUUUUGAAAGAUUUUUAAGGAAGACCUUUUUGGACUGUUUUUACCGUCAUGUAAUACCUCAAGAGAGAUAGAAAAUGAAGCUAAGUUAAAAUGACAUGCAACAAAUCCUGAAAAUCAAAGGGAAUACAGAAAUACUUAGCCUCUUCACAUGGGCACCUGCUUAACCAUCACCACAAUGAGCUAAAAUCUUAAGAAGUUACAUGACUGUGCACAAUUGCUUGAGUGCUCAGACUUCCUCUUUAUAGUCAGAUGCAGUCAUUGAUUGUUUCACAGUGCAGGCUCUAGAGGUGUUUGAUGAACUCAUAACAUAAACACCUGCAGCCCACUGUUGAUCAGAAUUUUAACCAACUAAACAGCUUGCAUUGUUACUGUUCACUAGUAGCGAGUGUCAGAAACUAUCAAAGAAACUUCUGUGUAUUUCUUUACUGUGUGCAUCCUAAAUAGAUGUCUGUAAAAGGUUUGAGUUCAUCCCCCCCAGUGGUUGCAGCUUCAGAUAAUAUUGCUCUGCUUGCAUUGGUUGCAUAAUCUUCAAAACAAGAAAAGACUAUUCAGCUGAUUCUGAACAGUAUGACAUAUGAAAAUACAUACGGGUGAACCCAUGUGUUGGACAUUACUCGAAAAGGUUUAACUUCUUGAUCUGAUGAAAAUAUGGCUCAAUUUAAAACAACAGCAGCCCAGCAAAGAUGGAUGGCUGAAGUCUCAGCAAAUCUCACCCAUGCCUCAAUACUAUCAAUGUUAUCAUUGGCUGUACUCAACAACUGUAUCAGUAAGUGGUAUGGUGGCCACAAAACAUGGCAUGUUGGUGGAUGCAAUUGCAAUGUUUUUUUCAAGCAAAUUUAAAGCCCUUUUCCUUCAAGCAGAAGCAGACUGUCUUUUAUACUAUACAAAUCUCUCUCUCUCUCUCUCUCUCUCUCUCUCUCUCUCUCUCUCGCUCUCUCAAUGUAUAUGUGUAUAUAUAUAUAUAUAUAUAUAUAUAUAUAUAUAUAUAUAUAUAUAUACAGUUCAGGCCAAAAGUUUGGACACACCUUCUCAUUCAAUGCAUUUUCUUUGUUUUCAUUACUAUUUAAAUUGUAGAUUCUCAAAACUAUGAAUGAACACAUGUGGAAUCAUGUGCUUAAGAAAAAAGUGUGAAAUAACUGAAAACGUGUUUUAUAUUUUAGAUUUCUAAAAGUAGCCACCCUUUGCUUUUUUGAUAGCGCUGCAAACUUUUGCUGUUCUCUCAAUGAGCUUCAUGAGGUAGUCACCUGAAAUGGUUUUUACUUCACAGGAGUGCCUGAAGUAACCCUGACAAGGUACUUCUGUCAUCAAGAGCAAAGGGUGGCUAUUUUAAAGAAACUAGAAUAUAAAACAUGUUUUCGGUUAUUUCACACUUUUUUUAUAAGUACAAAAUUCUACAUGUGUUCAUUCAUAGUUUUGAUGCCUUCAGUGAUAAUGUAUAAUGUAAAUAGUCAUAUAAAAAAAUAAAGAAAAGACAUUGAAUGAGAAGGUGUGUCCAAACUUUUGGCCUGUACUGUAUAUAUAUAUAUAUAUAUAUAUAUAUAUAUAUAUAUAUGUGUGUGUGUGUGUGUGUGUGUUUAUUAUUUAUUUAUAAAUAAACUAAAAUAAAAAAACACCCUGGCUGAACAUCAAUCUCGCCCUGCUACCCAGGCAAAAUAGCCUUGGCUUCAUUUGUCUCUUCACAUUAAACAGAAAUCACCAGCUGGGUAAAAAGAUACCAUGGUCUUUUAGUAAGAAACAUUUUAUUUAACAUUAGUUUCCCUAACAGAGGCAAAUUACAGGCAUCAUAAGUGUUUAAAUGCAGUGAGCACUCAUUAAGCUGUUACAAGGGAGCUGCAUCUAUUCUUAAUGAUAAGCCAUCACAUAGGGUCUAUAUGAGAGUGUUCUGUUCAAAAAGACCCCUUUGUGUGUCAAUGUGCACGAGAGGAAAAAGGCCCUCUAUUAUAAUGUGAACACUAUUCAGUUCUCUCUGCUUUGCUCUCUUUAUGACCUUUCUUCUUUUUCUUAUUGCUCAAUUGAAAGGAGUAUUUUCUGUUUAAAUUUGAGUCUUGCAAGAGUGAUGACACUAUUUUUGCAGUGAUGUGACCAGAAUAAUGGACAGUGUUGAGAGCUUUUUACAUACCUAAUGAUGGCAAUCACUGCAGGUCGUUCAAGGUAACACCCCUACGGAAGAAACUGAAAUCAUCUCAAAAGAAAAAUGAAUGUUUCAUCAUGUUUUUAAAAAGUAUUCUGAAUUCACAUUUAUCUGCGACUGCCCAUUCCCAGAGUUGCACAUCUGCAUCUGUACAGGUACAUGAUAAUAUUGGUAAUACUGUAUAAUCUGGUAACAUACUGGAAUAAUUCCAACUAUUUAUUUCGACAUAAUUUGAUGUGUGGUAUCUGCCAUAAGAGUGGUUGAGGACAUCCUGACUUUUGUAGAUUGAAAGCUUCCCAUAUGGUUUCCACUCAAACUUGUUUGUCUAAAUUAUUGACAAGCAAACAGAUAAAAUAAUGACUUCCUCAUGGACUAACCAGGCUAUUGAAAAAUAAAACCUGUAAAUAGGUGUUAUGAGACCUACCUACUGUGAUUUUCUCUGAAAAAUCAAAGUGUUGCUGCAUAUUUAAAGGAUACAGACAGAUGUGUCUGUGGAUAAAUGAUGUCAAUUUGUGUACAAGUAUAUUUGUGUACUUUGCACAUCCAAUGUGCCUAAUAGUUUUCCUUGUUGUUCAGUGUGCCCUGGUGUCACUACAUUUGUAAGCAUGUGAGUCUUUGCCUCUUUUACAUGCUCCAUGUUUCAUAUAUGACAUUCAAGUAUGAUGUAAUCAACAGCUCUCCUGCUUGGUAACGGCAUUUGUAAUCUUUGAGACCAGACUAAAAGAGCCAUUCUACUGUAGUCAUAUGUUACCUGACCGGCACACUCCUAAAACCCUCUCAUUUACAUUUAGAGUGAAUGCCGCUCUGUCAGUGAGGCCCUUUUCCACUCGGACAAAGCCCCUCACAGCCUCUCUGCCUCCUACUUUGCAGUGCACAGGGAGUGAAACAAUAGUCUGUUGAGAUAGGGAGGCAUCAGACGCACUAAUUUGGUGUUAUGGCAAAGUCCUUACCAGAAUGAUAAGUAUUAUUUUGCAGGGCGGAUCGAAAAGACUGCGACACAGUGUGUCGAAACUGCCAAAAUUGAACUUCUUUUCUAUGAAUUUUAAAAUGGAGCUUGAAUGAGUCCAUAUACUUCUACUACUUGAGGAGCUUUUUAUAUCAAGGACCUCAAAAUGGGGCCACAUUAGUCCACAGGAGCGAAGAGUUUGAUCAUUUAGUUUAACCGUAAUGACUGCUGAGGGAGAACAUAAUAAUCACAAAACAAGACAAAGAGUUUUCACAGUGAGGCUGUCACAUGAGAGGCUGGUAUUCUCCAUCAGAAGUGUUCCUGAGGUGGCCUUAAAGCGCUGUUUAAACCUCUCCUUCAGACCUGUCCAACCGCUGAGCUAGACAGGCUCAGUAUGAUUGCAGUUACUUUCUGAAACUGACAUCCACACCCACUUCAGCUGCAAUUUGGAGAGGUGAGAAAGUUCGCCAUGUUUGAACUUAUCAACCUGCUUUUUUUUCAACUCGACCAAACUACUUCUAGUUUUAUCUUAAGGAAAACUCUCUCCGGGGGUCGACUUUUUAGUGAUGUGGGUAUGGUUUGCUUUUGACUUUUACAGGACUAAACUGUAAGAUGACCAGAAUAGAACAGGAAGAUCAAACGAAAGGCUCACAGUAAAUAGUUAAAAAGCGAAAAAAAAAUAUUCAGGGUGGUGAUGAAAACUGCAAGCUGGACACUCACACAUAAACAAGGGUUUGAAGACAAGACUGCAGAGAAAAUAAGAGAAUCAGACCAAAUACAAAAGGCUGGUGGGGCUACACAAUCACAUACAGUAGAUGGGAAAAUCACAAAGGUAGUUAGUUAAAUUACUGACACCAGAGGGAAGAGUGAAAAUAAAACAGGAAAAGAUGAUAAAAAUAACCACUUACAGCCUGUGACCAAUGAUCAGCAAAAUAAUUCACUUCUCUAGUAUAACUUGGAUGGCAGGAACUUUGUGUAACAUGCCAACAUCUUUUUGUCAAAGGACUGGUACAGAAAAUCAAAUGUUAAUCAAUCUUAGUAAAUUUGAUUUUCUGUCGAUGAAAGAUAAAACCGGUGUUAACUCCUAUUUUCUGCCAACGUCUGCCCCCAUCUUUGUUGACUUCUUUAUGUUUUUGUUUUUUGGACAGAAACUUAGAUUCACCCUCUACUGAUACAUGAUCAGUAUGAUCCUCUAUCUGUCUGGUUUUCAGGAUCACAAACCUUGUCCAUACAAAUUUAUUUGCACUUAACAACUACCAAUUUUACUCUGUCCUGUCCAUUGUAUUACCAGUGUGUCUGGCUUAGCCACCCAGAAAUGAACAAACUGCAUUUGGUUCCCGCUAGUUUGUCCUUUCUGAGCUCCUGUAGAAAAUAUGGCAGUGCAACAUGUCAGCCUUUGAAACAAAGACCUGCUGUUUCUAUAAUAUUAUGGACUUUAUCUGAGCAUAGGUUGUAUAUACUGUGGACAACUUGGCUCCACCCUCCACCAUUAUACGAAUUUGAAGCAGUAUUUCUGGGAUCUUCUCCACUUCCUGGAACCACCACUUGUGUAGUAGCUUUGUACGUGUUCGGCGGGAGAGUUGCUGUGAUGACGCUCUGCUCAGACAGCAUAUCCCCCAGGUGAGCAAUGCAAUUUUCGUACGCUCAUAGCCUGUAUCAAGCGUCAGUCAUAGAAAACAUGCACCCCCUAAUAACUUUUAAAAAUGGAGCUGCACAGAAAAAAAAGGACUUGAGGACAGUCUUACAGUCAUACAGUAACUGCAUGUCAACAUUGCAACCAGGGGGAAGCAUUUAUAUUCUGUGUUAUUAAUUUCUAAAGUUUGUCCACAGCUCCAUAGGGAUUGCUGAAGGAGGCGGGGUUUAUGACCCAUACUGCAGCCCGUCACCAGAGGGUGCUGUUCUUGCGGUGGCUUCACCCAGCGAGGAGGCAGACUGCAUCCAUUCUGUAUACCGUAUGUUUCUGAGUCAUAAGAAAUUAAUAAUAAUGAUAUUUCAUUCAAUAUAAAAUUUUUCAACAAACUUCUGUAUAAUGUAUUCCAUUUUUGCGGAAAAAUUGUGCUAAAUUAUUCACAAUAUACCUUUAAAUAAACAAAAAAAAUUACUUUGUUGCCCCAUUUCUUGACAUCACUCAUUUCAUCACAGUCAAAGCUUUAAUGGUUUGCAAAAUAUUGAAAGCUCUUCAUUAAACCAAAGAUUUUCCCUAAAGAACAGAUCAAAUCUUUAAAUAGAUGCUUCAAAAAAAAGAAAGAAAAAAAAAGUUAACCCUGAAAUAAGGGAGUCUCCGUGUUUCCAGUUCCAAGAAGAGAGGUAAGUAAAACUCUGAGUCACUGACCAUGGCAACUGACUCUAUGAAGCUAACCUGCUCCCUACCAGGUUUUCCAUAAAAAACCCUGAGUUCAGCCUGCCUCUUUCCUUCUGCAGAACGUAAGUUAAGACAUGACUUACCCAUUUGAGGGAAAUCUCAUCGACAUCAAGGCACAAAUAAUUUGUGCUGUCUUACAUGGGGAGAGGCGCCUCAGACCUUGUCUGGAUCUUUCAUUCCCAAGAGAGUUCUUGGUAGAGCGGUACUACAACAAAAGGAAUUCCACAGGAUUGCAGGAACACCGUGUAGCAAUCACUUGAUGUCAAUGACAACAUUUCUGAAUUAAGAUUUUUUUUUUCUAUAAUGUAUUCAAUAUUAUGUCCGAGACGUUCUGCUGCAACCUUUCAUUAAGAUCAGCAAGUAGCCAUUAUUUUGCAGGGCUCCCGAAUGUGCUAGGAUGCAUAGAUGGCACCCAAAUACCCAUCACCGCUCCAGCAGUAAAUGAGGGGGACCAUGUUAAUAAGAAGUCCUUCCAAAGUAUAAAUGUUAAGGUACUUCACUUCUCAUCUUAAAGUGACGGGACUAUAAACCAUAUGACAAUGCAACUUUAAUGUCAUUCUCUGCACAUUUAAGAUCAUUUGCAAUGCUGGACAUAUAAUAACAAAUGUGGAAGCAAAGUGGCCAGGCUCUGUCUAUGAUGCACGGAUCUACCUUGAGAAUAGACUGAGCAACAGAUUUUCACGUGGUAAGUAGUCCAAAGUGUGCAAAUAUUAGUCAUUGUCUUUCUCCUAACACAACUGGAUGUAUUAAUUGCAGAAGAGUUUGAUGGCCACCUGCUUGGGGACCGAGGAUAUCCAUGCCAGCCCUCUCUACUGACCCCUUACCCUGACCCAAUUGGGUCCACUGCAGGACUAGAGCCCGGGUUGAGAUGACCAUUGGCAUUCUCAAAUCUGGGUUACGGUGUCUGCGUAAAUGUGCGUUUCACCCCUGUGGAAUUGCACCUACAUGAAAAUAAAUAUAAUUCAAAACCACUUUUUCAGCAUGUAUGCUAUGAUUUGAGGUUAAAUCUUAAAUUAAUUGACCAUAGUGCAUUUUCACUCACGCAUUGACUCUUUCUGUAAUUUUCUCCCAUGCAGCUUCUCUCUCUUUCGUUGCGGUGUUGCUCUUUUUCAUAAAAAUAAAUUUAUACUCAUCGUAUGAUGUCAUUAAAAUUUUUAAUUCUAUCGGCGUGAAAUAUGCGGCUUGAUUCUUCUUCGUGGCCAUGGUUGCAAUGUUACAUCACAGUAUUGGUGCUCCAUUGAUGAUGGCUUUUUGUACUGGCUGUGCACGCGCUCAACCCAAGGUGAACCUACUCAGAAUUGAUUGACCUAAUUCAUAUCAACUGUUCUGGAAACGGAUACUCAAAGUUUCCCAUCUCAGGGUAAGUUAACCUCAAACCCACAAUUAGACUCAGAGUUUGCUGAACUAUCUACCUGGAAUACCCCCCAGUUCCUUUUCAAAGUGUCCAGUAUGGCCCCAUAUGUGGACAAGCUAACAUAGUUUAUGUCAACAAUGUUUUUCAGUGGUGGAGCUACUGCAUGGAUGAUUGUUGUGAGUCACAGCCAAAACAGAGCACAGUUUGAGGUGGUCAGACACUACAGUAUAGUAUACACCACAAUAAGAGAUGUUGUAUGUCUAUGCAGCCAUUUUUUCAUUCAAGUUUUAGUCCCCCUGAUGUUGUUCUUGCAGACUGACAAUGUUCAAACGGUGAUGGUGCCAGAUACUGAAUUUAUUUAUAUAUCACACACGUCUGUAGUCUGAAAGUAGAAAACUGUCAAAUGUUAAUAGACUUUACUUCUUAGUGAUGUUACAGUGUAGCUCUUUAGUUUUUUGUCAGUCAUUUUUUGCACAGAUUUUUUGUCAGUGAGGCCAGGAUCAGGAUCAAACACACCGAGAAGAGGAGUCAGAGUAUCCUGUGUGAUUCAUCCAAUAUGGAGGACAAAUGGACUCAAAUUGCCAACCCACAGUGCCUGCAAAGAUAGAAGCACUUAUAGUUUUAUAGUUCAAAUCCUUUAUUUUUUAGACACCUCUGAAACCACAUACUGAGACAGAAGAAGGUUCACUGAGGUAUGUAAGAGGAUUUUACCUAUUAGCAUAAAAAAAAUUGACCAGAAAAAGGGGGGUAAAAAAGGAGUCCAUUAAUAAUUUAGAGUGCAGAGGAGGAAAAAUAAACAAACAAACAAAUAAACAAACAAAAAAGGCAACAACAACAUCAGCAUCCAAAACUUAUUUGUUAGUACUUAAGCUGAGGUGAUCAUGAGGUGUGGAUCAUUGAGUAAUGUAACUUUUAUUACACGUUACUUUCUGAGGUUGCAGCGAGGCAGCAGAGGAGCAAGGGUGCUUCGUCUUUGCAGGAAGCACUAAUUAUCCCUCCAAGAGAUAAUAACUGUAUUUAUCGUCUGAGGUGUUCGUCUUCUGAAGGGUUAUUUAUCAAAUACCAUGUGGGAUUAGAAAAUCAAUUCCAAGUGUCACAAAUUAAUUUGCAGCCAUCAUCUCACUUGUUCCCAUGAGACGUCAGGCAGCAGAAGCACCUUACUAAUGCUGAGAAUAUAGCUGGAUUGAUUUAUUUUUCCACAUCCCGCAUGUCUGAUGAAGAUGGCUAAUGCCAGCAGAUGAAUGAGUGUUUACCUGCUGAAGUCUCUGUUGCUGUCAUGGUUUUUACUGAGUCACAAAUACAGACAUUUUGACUGGUAUCAUGCACAUUAUAGUUGAAGCAGCAGAGCUGAAUUAUAGCCAAAACAUUUAUGUUUGCAGCCAAGUACAGUGUGAAUGUUUUCCCUCAUAACGUCCUUCAUUAGUUUAAUCUGAUUGGAUAUUCUGGCAUUUCCCACUGAAUCACAGCCAAAUGGAUUCUGAUUCGCACCGCAGCUUUUCUGUCAUAUAACUCAAUCCCGUAGGGUUUAGUGGAUGUCUCACACUUACAGGAGAUGGCACACUAGCAGCUGCUGUCGACAUUAUUAAAAGUAAAAUCAGUUUUUCCUCAUGUGGUGGUGUAUAGAGAUAAUUGUUAUGUUUGAUGAGAAAUACAGAUAAGCUACAGAGUUUUAUGUUGUACAUUAUUUAUACAUGAAACGCAUUUAUGCAAAAGCUGCACUCAGAGUAGGAAUCUAACAUUUAAAAAAACAAACUGAACAUGUUCCCUAUGCUAUCCCACUGCAGCCCUGUCUACAAACUCUGUUGAUGUAGUACUAAUUUAAAUUCACAGGUGUACUGUGACGAGAAACAUGAUCAUUGCCUGCAGUAAGGUGACAGUAUUUACCAAAGUAAACCAUUUUUGUGCCACCACAGGUCCAAUCUAUCAUUGGAUUUAAGUACCAAAGACCACAGAUCAGAGACACAUUACAGACUUUCAUUAAUGUUAACAGUCAACCUCUGAUUUCUGAUGUUUGAAGUUGCAGCAGACUCUACCUUCAUCUAACCUAGCUGUGCUCCAAGUCAUGUUAAAAUGCUGCAGGAGUGGUGGAUUAUUGAUUUCUAAAAAUAGCUUUUCAGUGAUAAAAUAGAGGAUACAUCCUUAGUGGAAAUUUCAAGUCUUUCAACAUUUUUGGACUUGUCUCUUUGAUGUAUCACUUUAUAUUUCUGAGUGUGUUAGUAAUAUUUGCUGUUGUAAUUGGACAUCUUUUAGACCUGAUAUUAUCGUAUCAUUUCAGGUCUGGAGCUGUUGUCUCAACAUUUUCAUAAUUUUUAUAAAUACACUAAGCCAAUCACAGUCCUUUUUUGAAAGGUUCUGUACAGAACUUUUAACUAGAUUUAAAAAGUGUCUUGCUUCUCCUGAUAUAUCUAUGUCACCGACAACAGCAAAUGAGCCCAUCGGAGGGAAGAUAUUUCUUAAUAGUGUAACUCCUACUUUCAAAAUUCGUUGGUCGGGUCUGCCCACUGAUGAAACGAUUAGCGGCUACUUCUAGACAGGUAUCGUAAGCUGCACUUUUUUAAACUGCUGGCUUAUUGAUAUGAAGAUAUAACAUUACCAAGGAAAGCUGACAACUUUAGGUUUAUAUACUAAUCCAUGGCUGGGUUAUCUAAUCUUUUUGUUGUAGGUUUACUGUUACGACCGGGACAUAACUGAAGGCUGAAAAUACAAGUCACAAGAAUACAACAUCACUACGUUUCACCGGUGGUAUCUUCUAUUUCAUAGAAAUGCAAAUAAAUACAUUACCUCAUCACUACGCAUCCUACAGAUUGAAAAAAAAAAAAAAGAUCAAAGUACAGGUUAGUCUCAGGGCCUUAUUUUCGUGUCCGCAGGUGAGACGGCGGAGGGUGGCGGACCCCGGGCAGUAAUAUUUUCAUCUAGCGGAGCCCAGCGUACAGCCAGUUUGGUGUUUACGUAGACUGAGGCGCACCGACCGGGCGUGGUUGCGUGGCAGAGGGAGGAUUCGACAGAAUCAGCUGCCGCUGUGAUAUUUUCGUACUAGCCGGUGGCGUAUAAAGUGCGCUGAAAGCUCGCCGAUUCAAACCUUUUCAGCUUUCAGCGCAGCUCGUCUAGUGGUAUUUAGGUAGACUGGCGGCUUAUCAGUAUACGUCACCGAUGCCUCACCGGCAGGUUUCCACAGUAUCAGGCACAUUUCAGUGCAAUAAAAAAUCAACAACAACUAAUAUUCUGAGUCAGCACAUACAUUUAAAUCUAUAUAGACAUAUUCUGAUCGAUAUCUGAUCUGAUGAGCGCGUUUGGCAUGCGUUCGGACACACAACCUGACCGAAUCAAUACAGCUGAAACCGCAUUAAAUUAAAUUAAAUAUCUAGUAAAUAAACACACAUGAUGGAGCUAACCAGAUAUGUAAUUCGUCUCCCUACUUUUCUUUUUUCCUUUCCUCUUAUUUCAGCAGCUCCACCUAGACAUGUCUCCGUGUCCUCUCCCCAUCCUGCUGCAGCUGCUACUGCGACUGCUGAACAGAUGAUUUGUUUCAAUGAUCAGAUGAGUUAUUUACUUUACGCCUACAUACGAAUAUUAUAAUAUUCAGUUUUGUGAGCCAAAUUUAUUUUAUAUGCCAACAUCGAUGAAAGAGCCAGGCCACAGAGCGCGAUACGUCCUUUACGCAGAGAUAGUUCCGAUUUUAAUGCCAUUAGUGGAAUUUAUGUUGUGAUCUGUGCGCACAACCCACUUUUGUCACGUGAGGUUUGAAUAUAUGCAACUUAGUGUGAGUGUCUUUAUAUGUGGAAAAGGGAGUUUGUCUUAUUAGUGGCUCCAACAUUACACACACCAAAUCCAUCUGUGCUCAUAUGAGAGAGUGUGAAGGACGCCCUCUGCAGCGCCUACAGUGACAUUUGUUGAGAGUCUGCCUUCUGUCGCCACCGUGUGGCAUUGCUGUCUUCAGACAUCUCUUGAUCUCUUUGACUACUUCUCGAAAAUAGUAAUAUGCCUCGCCGGUGGCGGGUUUAACGGCGACGAGAGCAGCUGAUGUUAUUGGUCAAUACAGGUUUCGGCUGUGUUAAACCCACUCCACACCCUCUCUCCUCCCUCGCUACAACUCACGCCGCUGGGAGGAGCUGAGUUAGGGAGAGGGGAUACUUACGCCGGGCUGCGCUGCUCACCAAAAUGCCAAGUUGUGCUUGGGAACGCCUUGUCAGCGCAGCGUACCUGACUUAAGCCGCGCCUGCACCACGUCUCCAGCGAAGCACGAAAAUAGAGCCCUCAGUGUGUUUCAUUGGCUUCCAAAACAACGAAACAGCUAGAACAAAGACCUUGUAUAUGCCUUCACGACAGUACGCACAAAAACUCAUGGGAAAUGCAGUUAUUAUUCUGGCAAAACACUACCCCUUUUGUCCAUAGUGGCCACCAGCUGCUUUAAGAUGACAUGUACAUCAUAGUCCCAGUCAGUGACUGCAGCUGGAAGAAACCCACACGUGUCACAUACAAGACAAGAGUUUUCUGGCACAUUUUAAAGGACUGAAAAUGUUCAAAGUAAGAUCUCACUGACAUGUACGAGUCAAGCUUUUUUCAAAAUGUGCUAGAUUACGCAGUAGCAUUAACCCCAUCUGCAGAGGUUGAAAGCAUUGCUUCUGUUCUGGUCCUCUGGCCACUUCCUCAACAAAGGAGCCUAGCUGCAUACAUACUGUGGCUAAUACCAGUAAUAUUGACAUGCACUUGGUACAGCUCACUUUAAAACAACUACUAAUCCCUUCAGGGUUGUCCUUAAUACACACACUUUCAGAUUCGAGAAAGCUAAAGAGAUCAGUUAUAGAUAAGAUAAGAUAAGAAGUUUAUUAAAUCCAAAGGGGAAAUUUGAUGGUCUGGGAUCACAUGUCAGAAGUGGUGUGUUAUCCAUUAUUUACAGUCAAUUUGUGGAGUCUGAUUGCUGUAGGUACAAAAUAGGGCUGGGGCGAUUCAUCAUCGUAGUCAUUAUAAUCGACUACAUAAUUACAUAGACGUAAAGACAUGCAUCAAUGCGUAGCAUGAUAGUUACGUAGACAAUGGAUAUUUAAGGUACCAGUGGGAGAGUGGAUGGCAAAUGAGUUCCACCUAAAGGGGCCCAUUUAAAACUUACUUUGUCAUGAUUUUAAGCAGCUCCUCUAAGCCCAUGCCUGCAUUCUUCCUCGUUUCCUCCUUCCUAUUUCUGGGAUCUUGCUGCUUUUAAGGAGACAUACAGUGACCCCUCAAUAGGAUACCCCAUAACCGGUGCAGUUAGCGCAACAGUUAAUGCUGCAUUAUCCGCCCAGCAUCCUGUGUCUCACUCAUUCACCUUGCUUUUAUUUGUUUUUGCAGUAAUUUUAGAUUUAGAGAGUUAAAAAAAACAAGUCUCUCCAAGCUGUGAAACUUAUCAACAGUUGUGAUGAAGGCAGACAGCUUAGCACAUGCCGAACCAGAUUCUGAGGCUUGAAGAAGUGGGUGAGCGAUGGCUGGAUGCUGGACAGUGCUUUCAGGAUGGGAUUGUUGUUCCACGUCCGCGGUUCUGGUGGCUGGGAUUGGGCUGCGGCGCCGUUGACGCAGUGGCUGAAGCUGGAACUGCUGUGACACUGCGGGAACAGUGUUUCUCUUCUCAGUCACUUUUCUAGAGACAGAGGAGAAAGAGAGAACUGCCAGUGGAGGCUCUAUGUGGAUAUUUUCCAUGAACAAGGUGAAACGCUCUUGCUGUGAGGCACCAUCUGGAGCUGUGAUGUUAUUUUUAAAGGACUUCCGGGGGCCUGGACUUCAUGAAGCUGGGAGAAAUAGAAGUUUUACUUGCCAGAGGAGAGCUUGUGCGAAAGAGAAUGCUGCUUCAUUGCAAGGACUGGCUUCCUCGACCAACUUCCCAUUGCUGAUGUUGCUCUUCAGAAAAGCAGUCAAUCUGCCAUGGAUCCUCGUCAUGGGCAGGGAUCAACAUGAUGAAGACCAAGGUAGGAGAAGCAAAAACGCAGAUCUGAGUGUUCUCAUGUGUGGGAGCUUGCAGAGUGGAUGCAGCCUUGCGGAGUGGAUGCAGCCUUGCAGAGUGGUUGCAGCAGGCAGAGUAGGGUGCCAUUUUGACACUAGCCAAUAAGAUGUGAAGAGGGUGAUCACCUGGGCUGUCAGCUGACUGAGGGCUGGCUUAAGAUCAGCUGACUGUAGCCUUUAGCUUGACUCCGUGACCUGCCUGAACUACCGCUAUGCUUUAUGUAAGGUGAGCAUGCACUUAACAAGGGAGAAUGCUAAGUAACCACAACCUGUCAGGCUUGCGCUUCAAGCAUGUAAGAGGUUGAACCAUGUGUAAUGACGCUUGUUGGGAUGUCAGUGCCUGAUAAAUCUCUGUGUUGCUGUUAUCCAAAAAUGGACACUGUCCAGCAUAAUUCAGCUGGUAAACCGCGGUGCAUGGUAUACGUAUCUCCCAGCAUUUCGUUCAAUUGUUUGGCUAUGUAUUACUUACAGGUGACUUAAGGUAAGCUAAGGAGCGAUGUUCAAGUGCUUUGUGAGCAUUGAUAAAAAUGCACUGUUGCACAGCUCUUGUUAAUUUCUUUUUGAUUUCAAAAGAUUCUUGAAUAUAUCAGUGACUUGAAUAUAAAUAAGAAAAGCUCACUAUUUUCAUUUUGGUCAAAUUUAUUGUCAUUUUUAUUGGGUAGUAAAAAAUAAUCAUUAGAAUAAUUAAUAAAUUAGUCCAUAGAUUAGUUGACUAAUUGAAAAAACAAUCAUUAGAUGAAUCGAUCAAUUCAAGAAAUUGUAAUGUGCAGCCCUAGUACAAAAGAUCUACUGAAUCUUUCUGUCCUGCAGCGAAGAGAGAGGAGCUGCCCACCACCAUUGGCUUUUUGAUCCAUUAAGGUGUUAUACAGUGGGUAAUCCAUGUUCUUUAGCAUAGUCUCUAUCUUGAUCUUUCCACAUCACCCACUAUUGGCAAUUUUCUUUUUAUUGUUGUGUCCAGAAGUUGAUGUAUUCAAUAAAACAGUCAGUCUGUCUGUCAGUGUUCAUUCUGUCCUCAUCUGUUUCCAGCAGCACAGUCCAGUCUGUUGAUUCAAAACAGACCAGACUUGUAGCAACUUCUCAGUUUAAGUGCAUCAUUCUAAAUAAAUAAAUGAUUAAAUAAGCUUAAAGCUUCCUAUGAUUUUAUUUCAACUAAUUUGAGUAUUUUACAGGUGUAGAAUGUGUAAAAUCUCCUCACAGAUCUGUUCAGUUUGCAUACUUUGAAUGUGUGACCUUAAUCUCAGUACAGUAAACCAGUGUCUUAAGGACACAUAUUUGGUGAAUUUUUGGCACUGAACAAAAAUGGGGAUGUUUCUCAUGGUUUUCCAAUAAUCCAUUUAAAAAAAGCUGGACAUUGCUGAUUUUAACCACGUUUUCUGUAUUCCAUUUACACAAAUGUGUGAGUCACCACUUUAACAAAGUUAAAAAUGCCUCCAUUUCCCACAAAUUGAUAUUAUCUUGCCCUCAAACAUUAUUGAAUUUGUUUGUGUUUGCAUCUGUUUGUUGCCUGCGGAGCAAGCAUCAAAAUGUGAGCUAUGUGUUCGUCGAUUCUGAUUCAUAGAUAAAACAGAGCCUCAGUCUGAGCUGAAUGGGUAAUCUGUUUAUAUUACUGCUCCAGGCACUUUCUUUGAAUUAGUGCUUUACUCAAUAAACACUGCAAAGAGGGAAAAAGUGCCACUUUCUUUUUGACUGUGUUAGAGGGUUGAAAGGAUGGCAUCUGUCAAAUGAUCCCUUCAAAUCUAUUCUGUGAGGGAACAAAAACCCUUCAAAUCUACAGAAAAAAAAAAUCUUCAGCUCAUGGAGUCAAUAUAUCAGGAAACCAAAGGCAUGCACAAAACAUAGUGGACGACUGAGAAACAAACAACAAGCAGUUCUUACAGCAGUAUUUCAGCACCCUUUCUAGGAGAAUGGCUCUUUUGAGUGAGCAUUUGACAGAUGUCCUUUUUUCUCAGCCACUGGCAGCGCUGGAGCCUCGCAGGCUUCAUCUAUUUGAUACCACAGCCAUGCCAAGACUCUGGCACACAGCUUCACACUGCAUCUGAGAUAGCCUUUGUGAUGUCUGCAGUUUAUGUGACAUGAAUAAGAAAUAUCAUGCACAGCCUACAGAGGACAGCUGAAUAGGAUGUAAGGUUGUCUGCUUGGACAGGACUAACAACAGACCAGACAAGGUGUAUUUUUAAAUCGAAGUCCCGCCGCUGGCUUUUCCUGUCGAAGUGUGUGUGUGUGUGGGGGGGGUACUAUCCAACUCGCUACCCUUCUUUCUCCACACACACACAUGCACACACACACGCACACUCUUACACACACACACAGAGAGUGCAUGUGUGUGUCUGGGAAAGAGCUGUGCAGCUUUCAGAGCUCAGCAUGAGAGCAUUUGAUAUUCAUAGAAGGGAAGAGAAGGAGAAAGUGAAACAACAGCAGGGGCACUGCCUUACGCGUGAUAUUACAUUGUAAUUAUGAUUUGGAUGUAGGCACGCAGGAAGCUCUAAGGGUGCAGUACAAACGUGCAAAAAUGUAAGCAAACGCACACAACCAUAUAGGGACACACACUCCUGCUUGGAAGCACUUGAAACUUCAAACUGCUUGAGUCUGCAUCAUUUCAGGAGUAAUGUGGGAUCAGACACCGCCUGGUGCAUCCUGCACUUAUUUUGAAAGCAGGGAGAUGAGGUCGGUGAGCAGGCUGCAUAUAGCUAUCGACAGAGCCGUUCUGAUUGGUUUGUUUACCAUCAAUAUUUGCAGAUGCCACUCUGGGCGCCUUUGAGAAAAUGGAUUUUUCAGCAUGAAGCAGAAUGUUCAGAAAAAUCAUUGGUAUUAGCGCUGCCACAGAGUGAGGGGGAGACAUACGCAUAUAUUGGAGGGAGACAGAGGCUCUACACAGGGAGGCACAUGCGCACCUGCAAAUAUUACUGAUAUCCACAGUCAGGCGGACGGACAGAUGGACAAACAGGCAAGAAAGACACGGGGAGAAAAAAAGAGAUUAUGAACGGCCCAGUAAUAUCCUGAAAGAGUCUGCUGUCUCAGAAAUGACACUUUCUGAGUGCUUUGUGUUGCACACUGGAAAUGUUCCAGCAGAAUUUUAAAUUUGAUUUAUAAAGAUUUUAUUUUAUUUUUAUUUUUUUUUAAGAAAAACAAAGAGCAGAACUGUCAAGCAGCAGAAGAACAAACUAGAUAUGAAAAGAGAGAUUCUGGACAAUUGUCCAAUAACGAGCAAACACAUGCAUAUGUAGAAAUCUGAAAUGCACAGUGGUUUCGCUCACAUUCCUGUGCGGAUUUUUCCAUUGGAUUAGUAAAGGUUUGAGGAAAGAGAGAGAGAGAGGGGAGGAAAGAAAGAGCUGUCAGACUGCAAUGCUGGCACAUCUACUCUGCCCCUUUUAUCAAAGAUAAGUAGUAUUGAUUUACUUUGGGGCUGUAAAAAGUAUUCGUCUUAAGAGCUGACAUUUAAUAAUCUCCACCUAAUCCGUGUUUUGCUGGGAGCCUCUUGAGAUGCUGGUGAGUCCUCUAUUGUUCUCCUGUUCUCUCCUGGCCCUACUGUAUAUCUAAUGAGGGGGACUGACGGCGUUAAUCUCCCAAUGGCUCAUAGCUGUACAUCCAGAAGACGCAGGGGUGCAGUGUUUAUCAGAUAAAUGCUGAAGGGGAGCAGCAAUUUUUGGGUGCAUAAACUCUGAUUGACUGACUGCUGUUUGAGAAGAUUUCCUGAAGUUGUCCUGGGUCCUAUUUUGUUUUUAACUCUGUGUCUACAGGUGUGAGAGUUUGGGGUUUUUAGUAUUACACCUUCAUAAUGCUACAGCUCCUUAUAUCCCCUGCAAAGAGAUGAAAAAAAUCCCAGCAAUGCGGUUGAACAAGUAACUGCCUUAUUAAUAUUUAUACUCAAAGGCCUGGUGUGUAAAUCAAAGGAUGGAUUGGGAGACUUAUUUGCAGAGAUUAAACGCAAUGUCCUGAGGAGUGUUUUUUUUUUUUUUUUUUUUUUCCUGAGUGUUAACACUUGAAAAUAUAAGAAGUUGUUGGUAUUUCCCGAAAAAGAAAAAGUGUUUUUAUACUCAGGGGUGGUGCUUCGUUUCUGCUUCACUCAGAGUGCUUUGCUCCUGAUUUGAGUCACAUCAGGCAUUCUCCUCACUUUUUCCACAGGUGACCAAAGUAAUAAUCUGAGUUUUAAAUUUUUAUUUUUUAUUUUUUUUAUCAAGCCCGCAUGCUAAGAUAAAUUCAAGAUAAAUUCUCAAACUUACUUUAGAUUUGAGGUUUAACAUAAACUUACACACAUGAGCUUGGAUCUAGUCAUGUCCUGGUUUAAUGUAUUUACUUGUAUUAAAGGGAUAUUUCAGUAUUUUUUAAGUAAGGUUGUAUCAGUUAUGCGUCACUGGUAAGUCUGUUAGCCAUGAUGGGUGGAAGUCAGUUCUGCCUAUCUAAAUGUCAAACCUCUGGGGGAACCAGCCAUAGCUUGGUCAAUGGUUCACUACAGACGGAGUCAGGUCUGCCUCAUAAUUUAGCUUAUUUUUAGAGACCUUGACCAAAGUACACAGCUUAGUUUCCAUGCACGCUCCACUGGGAAAUUAUUCAGCCCUUUGCCAUCAGAUAGUCCAUUUGUUUUUACACUAUUAGUAAGUAAGUAAAAUUUAUUGAGUAUGGCACCCUUCAUAGAAAAGAUUCACAAAGUGCUUCACAGUAAGAAAUUUAAAAUACAAUCAUACACAUAAAAGUAAAAUCAAAGAACAAUAACAAACAAUGGCAUAAAUAGAGCAUUAGUUAGAACAGGGAGAGAUAAAGGCCUGUUUAAAUAAGUGAGUCUUUAAAAACUUUUUUAAAGUGACAAUAGAAACAGCUGAACAAAAUAUUAGCAACUAAAUUAUUCCACAAUGUUGGAGCCACCACUUCAAAAGCACGAUUACCUCUAGUUUUUAGAUGAGCUCGAGGGACAACAAGCAAGCCCUGGUCAGUGAACCUGAGUGACCUACAAGGAAUGUAGGGAUGGAGCAGGUCAGUGAUAUAUUCAGGGGCCUGACCAUGCAGAGCUUUGUAUACAAAAACCAGAACCUUGAAGUUAAUCCUAAAUAUCACCAGCAACCAAUGAAGGGAACAUAGAAUUGGGUUGAUGUGAGUUGUCCGGCUGGACUUGCUCAACAGUCUUGCAGCAGCAUUCUGGACUAAAUGCAGGUGAUGAAGGGAUGACUUAUAAAGACAGGUGAAAAGUGAAUUACAGUAGUUCAGGUGGGAUGAAACAAAAGCAUGAAUGACCAUUUUGAGUUCAGAAUGUGACACAACAGACCUAAUUUUAGCAAGGUUUUGUAAAUGGAAGAAGCAUGACCGGGACAACUGUUUUAUAUGGUCUGUUUUAUCAUGCAGUGUUCGAAUAUAACUCCAAGUUUUUUAAGUUUAGACUGGACUGCAGAGGAAAGGGAACCAAUACACUGACCAACCUUGUGAGCUAUGGUAUUUGACCCAGCAAUGAGGAUCUCGGUCUUGUCAGGGAUUAGCUCCUGAAAGUUAUGAGCCAUCCAGUCUUUGAUGGCGGUCAGACAAUCGAGCAAAAUAAUUGAUUAGUCUGUGUCAUCAGGCCUAAAAGACACAUACAGCUGGAUGUCAUCAGCGUAAAAGUGAUACGAAAUGCAUUUGAAUUUGCUGAUGAUAUGACUUGAAGGCAGCAAAUACACAGCAAAUAAUAAAGGCCCAACACAGAACCCUGAAGGACACCUGAGGAUAGGGCAGCUGUUUCAGACAUAUAUGGACCAAGUGACACAGAAAAGCUCCUGUCAGAAAGAUAGGAGGAGAAACAAUCCAGGGCAAUCCCAGAGAUGCUCACCUACUGCCUCAGCAGAUAACACACAUAUUCAUGCUCCUCUAUCUGCAGCAUGAUCAGCUAAUCUAUGAUGUAGGAGUCACUAAUACAACAUGAACUUUGAUACUUUUGUUUUUCUUUUAUAAUGUAAAAUAAAUGCCUAAGAUGACCCAGCAGAUACAUGCAGAGAUUGGUAUUUCAGCUCAGUCUUUUCUUUCAGCAGCAAACAUGGAGUGUUUUGAGAGUGUAGAUAUAUAGUGUGGACCAUGGAUGUGUCAUUAUGCAACAAAAAAAACAACAGGACCAAAACACUUACUUUAAAGAUGCUCUUCUAUUCCACUGGUGGUUUUCUGAUUUCUCUCUAGACUGUUAAAGAAAGUUUAUAACAAACUACAGAGUGCAGUGAACUAAGGUUAGUUAACAUUGGAGCCUGGAGCCUUGGAUGACUGGUAUAACUUGAUUGUCAAAAGUCCAAAAGUGCUGUUUUACCAAGUGUCAUGAUUGUAGCCAGUAGUUUGCUCAGUUUAUGAGCACUAGCUCACAGUUUACCUAUCUGAGUUAAUAUCUAUCUAUCUAUCAAUCUAUCUAUAUACAGUAUAUAUAUAUUUUAAACCUAGUUCAUAAAGGUAUUCUUGUGCAUCCACAGUAAAUAGCAUAUUAGCAGUGCUGUCAGACUCACACAUCACUAGGUUUGGUUGUACUUUUGUAUCUUUCAAAACCUGUGGACUGAACAGCUGAUCAGUCCGUUGCAGGCAGUGGAGCGUCCCUGUGUGUGUUGUGUCCUGUGUAAAAACAAAUGGGCUUUCUGGUGGCAAAGGGAUGGAAAAAAUCUCAACUAGGAGCUUGAGUUAGUGUCUAUAAAUUUGCUAAAUCCCAUGGUGGACUUGACCCUUUCAAUUGUUCGCCUGGCUAGCCAACUGGUUCUCCCAGCAAAAUCUUGUUAAAGGGACAGUACCAUAGACCAUGUAUAUAGUAUGGACAACAUGACUCCUCCUCCUAUCAUUGUGCGGAUUUGCAGCCAAAUUGCUCUUGGUAUUUUAGGGAUUUUCUCUAUUUCCUGAAACCAGCAUUUGUGUAGUAGCCUUCAGCGGGAGAGCCGCUGUGAUGAUGCUCUGCUCAAACAGGGUAUACCACUGGAUGAUCUACACAAUCUUUGUACGCCCACUGACUGAAUCCAAAUGUUAAUCAUAGAAAAACUGAACACCUUAUAAUCAUAAAAAAUGAGCUGACCUGAAAAAAAGAGGACUUCAGCACAAACCAGUCUCACAACAACUACAUGUCAUCAUUACAACCAGGAGGAGAAAAAAUUUUAUUCUGUGUAUUUAAUUUUUUAAGUUUGUCCACAGCUUCAUUCAUUUUGCAGUAAGAGGUGGGGUUUAUGACCUAUACUGCAAGCAGUCUCCAGGGGGUGCUGUUUUCUUCCGGAGGCUUCACCCAGCGAGAAGGCAGAUGACAUCCAUUCUUCAUACAGUCUAUGUCAGGACUGAUUGGCAUCCAUAGUGGCUAAUUCAACCCCACUUUAACCUAAGAUGUCCUUUUAAUGACACCAAAAGUCAAACAGGCUGACAUUAGUAAAUAAAACGUGACAAAAACACCCUCCUGAAUGGAAAGUCGAGGACUUCACAGUUUGCCAUGAAGGUUGAAAUGUUCUAAUGUGACAGUCAAUGUCAUCUCUUUAACAAUGUAGUUUGAGUGUGUAAAAGAUACUGAACUCAGUCCUGACCCUUGUGUGAAUCAAUAUUUUUUUUUAAAGAGUGGAUCAAAUACUCUGUGUAAAGCAUCACUUUGUAGUGAAAACCACCAGAGGAUUAUCACUUGACUUGUUUCCUCAGCUCUACAAAGCAUUAAGCAUCAUUUAACACAUUGAUUGGGUUUUAUGGAGCCCAACUUUACUGUUUUAGGUCACUCUCACAUCUUAAAUUAACAGGCUUAGCAGCAGGUUUAUUUUUAGUUAAAAAGCUUGAAAAAUCCACUGUACAACUAGAGCCCAGCAAGUUAUUGAAAAUGAAAUGGGCAACAAUCUAAGUAUAAUGAAGCAGUUAGCAGCCAAAGAGCCUGAUACUUCCCCCAGAAGGCAAUAAAGAUGAAACAGGACAAAAAGGAGAGACAGUUUUAGAUCUAAUCUCAUAAAGAAGUCACAAUCAUAAUUCCAACACCCAGCACACCUAUGUAGGGACAAUAGGGCAUACCAGAGAGAAGCAAAGACAAUUUAGUCAUUAGUGUCCAUGGUUGCCUCAAAUGGGUUCACCCUGAUGGAUUGAGGCCCUUGAAGGACUUCAUACAGGGUCUGUAUAGAUGGAGAACAACACUUUCUCACCCUCCAAAGUCCCAUUGUUUAUAGUUCAAUACAAUGCUCAUUUUGGCCCAAAAAAAAUGGUCCCUUACACCAACUCACUUAUAGCUAAGUCUAUGACCAUACCCAGCUGAAGGCUUCAUGCUGAAAUUGACUAGUUUUUGUUCAAUUUAGACACAAAACCCCCAAAUAAAAUCAGUUAUUUAUUUUAUUUGAUAAUCAGAAGAAAGCCCCCAGCUGUAUAAUGUCAUUUUCUUGGUCAGAAUCCUGGAAAAACUACUGUACUACCACUAUCAUUUUUCCACCUCAGAAACAUUGCUAAACUCCGCCCCACCCUCACCCUCCCUGACGCCGAAAAACUGGUCCACGCUUUUAUCUCCUCCAGGCUGGAUUACUGUUAUGCACUCCUCAUCAGGACCCCUAGCAUGAGCCUCCAAAAGCUCCAACAUGUACAAAACAGCGCAGCUAGGGUCCUGAUGAGGGUGCGUAAAUGUGAGCACAUCACUCCCAUCCUCCGUUCGCUGCACUGGCUCCCCAUCUCCUUCCGUACUGAAUACAAGGUCUCCCUGCUAACCCACCAAUGCAUCCACGGCAACGCCCCCCUCUACCUAAAGGAACUGCUCGAGCCCCAGCCCCCCACCAGAAGCCUCCGCUCCUCAAACAAAGACCGCCUCAAAGUCCACCCCACCAAACUGCGGACCAUGGGAGACAGAGUGUUUUACGCAGCCGCCUCACUACUGUGAAACUCUCUCCCAGACCACCUAAGGGCCCCUCAGUCUGUGGACUCCUUCAAAAGAGCCCUAAAGACCUUCCCUUUUAAUAAAGCCUUUUGUUAGCUUUCUUUAUGCUUUUUACUACCUGCCUUUUGCACUGCAAUUCAAUAUUCUUUAUUUAUUUAUUUUUUUUUCUUUUAUGCUUGCUAUGCUAAUCUGUGACUGACAUUCUAUUGCUUUUUAUUGUUGCUGCUCAUUUUUUACUGUGUACUGUAGCACUUUGAGAUUUCUUGUAAAUGUAAAGUGCAUUACAAAUUAAAUGUAUUAUUAUUAUUAUUAUUACUAUGGCACAAAAAAGCAGAUAAUAUUGCCAUUCAACAGCUAACACAGUAUAUUUGAUUGGGUAAACAUACUGUAUUAACCCUGGGUCAAGCCUGAUUGUAGGAUAAAGCUUGGAAAGGUCCUGAAGUACUGUUUUUGUUGAGUCUACCUCGUAGCUCACAAACAGUACCUAUCUGAAUUCCAGUUCAGAAAAGUGGUCUUGCAACCACGGCAAACAGCGUGUAAUCGCAGCUGUCAAAAUCAGCCAAUUUUUGGUUUGGCUGUGUCAUUGGGUGUAAUGAAAUCCAAAGGCUAGUUCUAAAGAGCAAACAAAUACACCAUAAUUAAGUGUUUGAAUUAAGUUUUCCCACAUUUAGCUAAAUUAUGUGGUAAAAUUGACUGCAUCUGUAGUGGUUGAUAGUCUAGCUCCCGUACUAGUACUUUGCCCAGUUUCUCAUCAAAGGGGCCAAGCUGACUGGGUUCCCCCUGAGUAACACGCUUACUAUCGACAAGUACCUCAUGCAACCCCACUUCAGAAAAACCAAACUGUGCCUCUAAGCUGUAGCAGAGACGUCUCCAAAAAAAUCAAAGACACUCAUUACCCAGUUUCACAUCAAAUAGAAUAUCAGGGUCAAUCAAGGCCAGAGAAUGUGCAAUCAGUUUGAAAUUGUAUAUAUAAAUAAGAAAAAAAAUCAUCAUUAUUAUUUCAUGAUGUUUUAUGAUUGAGGGGGAUCAAACUGUUUUUUAUUAUAAUAAAAACACCAAAAAAUACAAUCUGAAAUGAUAGGAAGUUUCAGUUCAUGCAGUUGUUCAGACCAGCGGUGUCGCCAGACAGAUUUCACUAGGGCACGUGCCCCAGUAUUGAUCUGCAGUGCCCCAGUAAAAAUUUCAUCUAUAAAAAAAAAAUCCCUUCAGAGUAUUAAGUCCACAUAGCAUCGACUACAGCGCACAUACUAUUUAGUAUGGUAAUUCAGUGCUACUGUAUUCACUCCACAUAAACAAUGUGCACAUGGCUAAUUAAUAUGGUAAUUUAUUCACGUGUAGCGACUUCGGUUGAUAAUACUUCCGUGUCAACUCGAAGUUGCGAGAGAGAGAGAGAGAGAGAGAGGCAGGCGAUGAGAAUCACUGCGUGAGGUAGGUAACAUUAGCCGACAACAACUUGUUAAAUAUAUUAUUUUGAUUUUGAUUUGACUCGAACUGUAACUCCUAGAUGGAUAUCAGAAAGUUAUUCGCCCGCAGCAGGGAUAAAGCAGCGAGGAAUGAGAGAGGUAAGUGAAGUCCUAGCUAGCUAGGCAACAUAAGUCUGUCUUAAAUUAAUGCUAAGUUAGCUAAAGUUAUUCCUUUUAUCAAGACAACCAUAUUAAUUUGCUGUACGAGCUGUGGGGGGAAUUUCCAGUGAGUUUCAUCAGCAUGAAACAUAAUGUUGGUUAUGGUCUGCUGGUUCUGCUCUGGACCUCUGCAUCAAUGAUGAUUUUGAGUAAGCUUGUGUUAGUUGACAGAUAUAGCCUAUGGAUGGUGCAGUGGUUCUCAAAUGGCCUAUCUUCAAGAAGAAAAACAUUUUAUAUAUAUAUAUUUUCAUGUCUGUCCAAACAAAGUGGAACAACAGAGUGCUGGAAGAGGUGAGGGAGAGAUGAAAGUUGACGAGCAAGAGCGGAGGUGAGCUGACUAUCAAUGAAUGAUGUCCCAAUCAUGUUUUUUUUUUUCUUUUUUUGCCCCUGAGUCAUUUGAUUUUGAAUAUCGAUGGCAGAAACACAAAACCUCCCAUAUAAGGAAAAAACAAAAAACACAUUUUUUGGAAAACAAAAAACCUGCCAGUUUCUUACAGAAUGCUUUUUGGUCAAGUGACUUUUUUGUCACAAGGAAGGGUGGGAUUUUUUAUGAUAAAUAAGCAAUGAAUAUGUUGUUUUUCUUGCACACUUUGCGCGCUCUCAUGAAUGUUUUGUGCCCCAGGUGUGCCCCAGUACAGUAUUACGUCUAGUGACGCACCUGGUUCAGACACAGGAAAAAAAAAAAAAAGGGAGGUAUGGGCUGAUUCAGCUGGUAAUGAAAUAGACCAAAAUAAAUCCCGGUACCUCUACAAGACCUAAGGGACCUAUACAAGAAAAUGAACCCACUAGAACAAAGACAGACAUAGGGCUCUAUUUUGGUGCCUCGCCGGAGACGUGCCGCAAGCGCAGAGUCAAUCAGAUCCGCCGCGCUGACAAGGCGUUCCCAAGCACAUUUUGGUAUUUUGGUGAGCCGCGCAGCCCGGCGUAAGUAUCCCCCCUCCCUAACUCAGCUCCUCCCGGCAGCAUAAAUCAUAGACGGGGAGGAGAGAGGGGUAUAGGGGGUUUAACACAGCCGAGACCUGUUUUCACCAAUCACAUUAGCUCCUCUCCUCGCCUUUAAAUCCGCCACAGGCGAGGCGUAUUACUAUUUUCAUGAAGUAGUCAAAGAGAUCAAGAGAUGUCUGAAGACAGUUAUGCCACACGAUGGCGACAGAGGGCAGCUGCUCAACAAGUGUCCUCCACACUCUCUCAUCUGAGCACAGAUGGAAUUGGUGUGCGUAAUGUUGGACCCACUGGUAAGACAAACACCCUUUUCCACAAAUAAAGACACUCACAUGUAGUUGCAUAUAUUCAAAUCUCACGUGACAAAGGUGGGUUGAGCGCACAGAUCACAACAUAAACUCCAAAAAGGCAUUAAAAUCGGAACCAUCUGUGCGUAAAUGACGCAUCGCGCUCCGUGGCCUGGCUCUUUCUUUCAUAGAUGUUGGCAUAUAAAAUAAAUUUGGCUCACAAAACUGAAUAUUAUAAUAUCCGUAUGUCGGCUUAAAGUAGAUAACGCAUCUGAGCACUGAAACAAAUCAUCUGUUCAGCCGCAGCAGCAGGAAGACGGACAGAGGACACGGAGACGUUACCAGGUCGAGCUGUGCGAGAAAUAAGAGGAAGAAAGAAAAGGAGGGAGACACAUUACAU
This is a non-coding RNA of Xyrichtys novacula (pearly razorfish), 51716 nucleotides long. The record is from the annotation of a GenBank genome assembly. Lineage: Eukaryota; Metazoa; Chordata; Actinopteri; Labriformes; Labridae.